CGACCUCUAGAAGUUGAAAAUUUAAAACAUAAUGUAUUUGAUGUAACUGAAUUAUGAGAAAGUGGAUACAUCUGAUGGUGUGCAUCAUUGACAUGCAAAGUUUUAUAAGAGGGUGAAAGCACCUCUUUCUUUUUUACUGAUGGGAGAUGCAAAGUUUUCAAGGGUGAAAGCACCGAUUCAUCUGAAUUGCUAUUUUGGGUGAAGAAAAUCAAGAAAUCACCUGGGAUAACUAAAUUAAACGUGUUCCUCGCAAACAACCAAGACAAAAAAAGAAAAGAAAAAGUGACUUUAGAGUGAUCAUUUUUGGAAGUAAAAGCUCGUGCACUGUUUAUGCCGGUGAAUCUCCUAACAUCGUAGCCAAAGUAUGAGUACUGAGUUAGUAUAUCUUUUUAUAUAUAUAUUAGUAAUUCUUUGUUUUUGAUAAGUAGUAAAUUUAAAUAUAUUAUGCUAAUAAUAUAUGCAUGUUUCUUUCUUUAUGUAGAUGGAGAAUAAUGGUGGCUUCAAUGUCUUCGUCAAUCCUAAUAUACACUACGCAUUCAUAGUGACACUACUUACGAUUAUGAUUGUUAAGACAUGAAAUGUCCUGAUGAUCAGCCCAAGGAUAGAAUGAAUAAAACUAUUUUAAAAUUAAAACAGGUAUAAAACGGUGAUUGUGAGUAAAACCGUCGUUUACCAAUUACUUUGGUUUAAAACAACGGUUUCACUUACAAUCACCGUUUUAUACCAAAGCGCUUUGGUAUAAAACGGUGAUUUUACUUAAUAACCUUCGUUUUAGACUCAUUUUAUUAUCCUAAAUCAAAGUGCGCCACUUACGCUUUCGUUUUUCGUUUGUCUUUUCGCGUACUCUCUUGCUCUUUGGUUCUUCUCCAUUAUGACAUUCUCUAUUGUAAGUUUUUCCUCCUUCAAUUUCACUCAUUGCAUUCUUUAUUGCUUAUUAUUUUGUCUUUCUCUUAUUGGUUUCAUUGGUUUUGGUUUUUGUUGUCGCUGCCACUCUUUCAUUAGUGAACUUCGCUCCUCCACGGUUUUGUGCUUCUUUGCUACCAACAUCGUUUCGUUGUCGUUGCUCGUCGCCACCAUUGUCCUUCACCAUCGGUUCUGCCCACACACAAGGUUGAUUGGUGUUUUUAAUAUUUUAAUAUUUUUUUAGUAUUAUUAAUUUUUAUAUUUAAUAUUUAUUAUAAUUUAUAUUUAUUAUUAAUUUAUAUUAUGUUAAUUGUUAGGGUUUAGGAUUAGAAUAAAAUUAUUAAUUUGUUAUUGUUAGAUUAUAACAGAAUUAUUAGUUUGUUACAUUGUAAUUAGAGUAAUACUAUUUAGUAUUUAUAAUUAAUUUAAUAAUUUGUAAUUAGAUUUUGUAAUUAGAUUAUAAAUAAUUUUUUGAUUUUUAAUUGAUAUUUUUUAUUAUGUAUAAUUCUAUUGAAUGUAUAUUUAUAAUUCUGGGAUACGUUUUGGUAUUGAGUUCGAAGAUGUUCGACCCUCGACAAUUGUUUCCUGUAUGAGACCCUUAAUUUCCCGUUUGAGAUUUAAUACAUGUAUUUUUCUACUACUCCAAUUGUAAUUUUUUUUAAAAACAUUUUAUAAAAAGUAGAGGAGGUUUUAGGACAGUAAUUGUAUUGAGUCUUGAAUUGUCCAGGUGGACAUUUUGAGAAGAACAAUAAUUUUUAUUAGUUCAAUAGUACAUAACUUGUAAUUGAAAUGUCAUAUAUAUUUUACAUAAUUUUGGUUCAUAGCACUUCGUGUUGUUUUUUAGUGCAUAUUUGAUUGUGGAGAUUUUGUGUCACCACUUUCAUUUCGUGUUAUCUGAAGACCAAUGCGAAAUGUUGCCGAAAUUUUGUUAAAUAUAAGGAAUGCUGACUAAAAUUAUGUACAAUUAAAUUAAUAAAAGGGAAUCUUCUUGAAUGAGAUAAGUUCAUACCUAUAAAAAAAAUGUGAGAUUUCACAUGCAUUAGUGAACACCUCAAUGACCAUUACAGAACAUAAUGGAUUGAGAUUGGAUAAUAAUUUCGUCCACAUAAGUGAUGAGUACGAAAGAGGAGUAGAAAAAUUUAUACAAUUUGCGCAACGUAAAGCCAAUAAUAGUGGUCAUGAUGGAGUAAAGUUUAGGUGUCUGGGUGUUAAUUGUUUGAACGGAAGGAGAUUGGAUGUUAACAAAAUCAAGGAGCACCUUCUAUGUGAUGAGUUUCUACGAUCUUAUACAACAUAGACAUGACAUGGUGAAUUAUUAAAUUUACCAAGUUUUUUCGUAUCCGAAGAAUAGGUUCAGUCCACCAUGGAUUAUACAGUACAUGGUGAAGUAGAUGACGAUCGAUUGGAGAAUAUGAUUCAUGAUGUUGGAGCUGAGUCUUUUGUAGAAGUGCAUGGACUAAAAAACUCUCAUAAUAGACGGUAGUUAUGACCUAUAACCGUCAUCUAUACCUCUCAAGGAAGGAAAUAGACGGUGGUUUUGUAUAAUAACCAUCGUCUAUUCCCUUCCCUAGUAUUGUAUAGUCAUAUUUGAUUUUUGUUAUACACUACGGUUGAUCAAAAGAAUCGCGUCUAGAUGUGACUUAUAAAUGGUGAUUUUGCAACCAUUGUUUAUUCUCCAAUAGUAUAGACUAUGUGCUGAUAGAUAAUUGUUUUAAAAUCGCUCAAAAAAUCGUAGUCUAAGAACUUUUCUGCACUAGUGUAAUGACAAAAUCGUGAUGGAGCUCUAAGCUUCAAAGUAGACAAUACAUCGAAUAUGGUGAUUGACCGUAAUAAUAUUAUCUUAAGGGACUUAAGAUCUUGAGAUCAGAACAUUAAUAUCAUCAGUAAAAAUUGACGAGAUUUCAAAAUAAUUAAUCAUAUAAUAUAUUAUUGAUUUUUAUUUCUUUUCAGUCGCAUAAUCACAUUUGUUACAAAUAUAAAUCAACUCAAUUUUUCUCAAUCUAAAUUUUUUUUUUCUCAUUCUUUUUUAUCACUUAUGUAUACUUAAUGACAUAAUUAACCUAAUGUCAUCACGAGGAUGACUGCCUAAUAAUUUAUCAUAUUCUCUUAACAAUCACAUUUUUUCGGUAAAUAAAGGACUUAUAGAUAAAAAAAAUUUGGUAUUAAUUCCUUUAUAAAAAAAUCUAAAUCAAAUAAAUUUUAAUGUGAUGUUCUCUAAGAUCUAACCCCUCCUUAUUAAUUCCCCACAAAAAGAAGUGACUUACGGCACAAUACAAUAUUUUUUUUAUAAACAUCAUCUUUAACUCUCAUUGUCAGAUCAAUUCGAAAGUUGACAUUUAUUUUUUAUCAAAGUAUGUUUUUAAUCAGUGGUGGGUAUGUUUUAUAAUGAUUUAUCAGUAAUAUGUUUUUUUAUUAGUAAAUAAUAGAAUAAAAUAAAUUAGAAGAAUAAACCAGUACCAACUUGCAAAUUAGAAGAAUAGUUUCAGAUAGUGAUUAAACAUAUCAAAUACUAUUUUAUGUCACCGAAUUGGUUUGGAGAAACUGAAAACACCAAGUUCAUUGUACUCCAAUAGACGACCAAAAGUGUAUGUGGUUCAACUGUAGACGAAAAAACAAAUCCUCUUAGGCAAGUCUUCUCCUCGUUUUCUUCUUUUCCAUAUCCACUGUUAAAAUUUUAGAUUAUUGUUUCAAAUUUAUAAAAACAUAAUUUUGAGAAUUAUAGGAAAAGUUAUAUAUUUAUCUGCAAUAUUAAAUUAUAAGAUUGAAAAAAAUAAGAAAUUGUUUGAAAUUUUAAAUAAACUACUAGGAAAAUCUUUCAAAUUGUUUUAAACGGACUAAUCCAUAUAAGUAAAUAUUUAGAUAAUUUAAAGUAUAUGAUUAAAUCGUUUAAAAUCAUUUUAAUUAAAUAUAUUUAUUUAUUUUAUCAGAAAAUAAUAAUACAUUAAAAUAAGUCUUUAAGGAAUACAUUUAUUUUAUUAUUUUUAUAUACAAUUUUUUUUUAUCAGCAAGUAAAGCAAAUAAAUUUCUAUAUAAAAAAAAUAGUAUAAUCAAAUUCUUAUAUACAAAUUUACAAAAAAUAGACUAAUCAUGUGUUAGUUGGUUUUCCAGUUACAAAAUAAUCCAACCCUAUUUAUCUCUCCUCAUAACACACAUGUGAUGCAAUCAAAGUUCUCUUAAUCUCCAUAAACAACACAUAUCAUUGCCUGAUAAUUGAUCCUACAUACAUCAAUUCCUGCCACGCAUAAAACACGCAGCUAUAUCAUGGAUUGUAGGCACUUUCUUCUGUAGACUUUUUUCUGAUAAAAAAAAAUAUUUCUUCUGUUGACUUUUUGCUGAUAUCUCUAUGUGCAUUUUUUUUAUCAGCGAAGUUAUCUCUAUGUGCAUACUUAAUUGUGGUAGGGAAUAUUUAGUUGUUGUAUUAUUUGUGACCUUUUAUUUAAUAAUGUUGUCAAGCUCUUGGCUUAGGGUUUGAUACAUACACCUGCAAUUGGGGACUGGUAUUGUGUCUCUAUAAAUUGCCAUAUACAACACAUAAAUAAAGACAGUUUGGUUCCACAAAACACCUUCCUCUUCAAUGGCAAAGCAAGUCUCAGUUAUCAACUCUUCCUACUGUGCUCCUCACUCUGUCACUCUACAAAUUAAUACUGAGGAAGGAGCCACUUACAAUGAAAAGGAUGAUCGUCUCUUUUAUACUGACGAUACUUUUUUCACACUUCACAACCGUCGUGUCUUAUACGAUGAUGCAGAAAACCCCAUCGUCACUCUAUACAGUAAGGUGGUUCCUCAUGCAUCAACUAUACCCAUUCUCCAAUUAAUUAGCUUUAUUACUUUAAUAUUCGCCCACCUACAAAAAUAAUCUCUGCUUAAAUUUUUCAUUCUAGCCACUAACCUAACCAGGAUGUUAUUAUUCUUAAUUUUUAUGCAGACUGUGUCGUUGCAUGGGAGAUGCAACGUUUUCAAGGGUGAAAGCACUGAUUCAUCUGAAUUGCUAUUUUCUGUGAAGAAAAUCAAGAAAUCACCUGGAAUUACUAAAUUAAACGUGUUCCUCGCAAACAACCAAGACAAAAAAAAAAGUGACUUUAGAAUGAUCAUUUUUGGAAGUAAAAGGUCGUGCACUGUUUAUGCCGGUGAAUCUCCUAACAUCGUAGCCAAAGUAUGAGUACUGAGUUAGUAUAUCUUUCUUAUUUAUAUUAAUAUUUCUUUGUUUUUUUUUUAUCAGCCAAAAAAUAAUUAAAUUAAAUUUGAGACAACCCUUAUACUAUAACAACGCUCUUCCCUCAUGCUUCCUACAUAAAACCAAAAUUAAUAAACUAGGAUGAUACAGAAGAUAACGCAUAACAAAGGGUUUGUUUCCCUAAUCCUAGAUAGGCAUGGGCUUGAAAACUGAGAAUACCUCGCAAAAAACCAACAAAACUGCGCCUUCAAAUUAGGCACACAAACUGCUCUUGCAAAACUUGUGAUAGCAUAACUAACCUGCACCUACUAAAAGGGUGCAUCACACCACACAACACCGCAACAUCCCCUUAGAAUUAGGUUCCUGGCCAAGAUUUACUCCUCCUUCUUCACUCAACACGUCCCUGCCUAUAGUUGUAGCCCUGUACACGCUGACCUGGCAAAAGUGGUUGUAGAUAUCGAGUCUACUUUUUAUUCAGUCAACCGUAAUGGGCAGGGCCAAGAUGGAAUGUUGGAGGCCCAAUUUGGCGUUGGGAGGGACCCCAUAGUUGCUCAUGACUAUGAUGAUGGGCCAAGGCCCGAUAUGGAGAUCUGCGUGAGAGAGGAAGAAAGUGAUGCCCAGAUGUGUGGGGAACAGGGGACACAAACAGAACCGAACGAAGUUUCUGAUGACUACGAAGACGGGCCAAGAACCGAUAUGGAGAUAUGCGCGAGAGAGAAAGAAAGUGAAUCCCAGGUGUAUGGGGAACAGGGGGCACGAACAGAACCGAACGAACGCGAAGGAGAUGAUGUCGAAAAAUGCCAUACGCACACCGAAGAGCCUAGGGGAGGAAGCGCACAAGCAGUGAAUGGUGCGGCGAGUGAGAAGGAGGAUGAAUACGGGAUUAUGUAAGAAGAUGAACUUUUUAGAUACGAGGAAGGUGAUAACUCUGGAAAAGGGAACCAAUCAGGGGAUUUUACGGCGCGAAUCACAGGCCCGAGUAAAUCCCCAAUUCGUCAACGCAAGGAGAAGGGGCUUACCGAACUGGGGGACUCAGCAUCAAUCCAAAGGAGGCGGUCUGCAAGACUAAGUGAGAAACAAGCCCUGGUAGGCCCUGGUAAACAUCACCAAGAAGGUAAGAUUUCUGCCUCAAUCUCGGAUGGUGACAUAAAUAAUUGCAAUUACCGUCUUUGUGAACAAGUCCAUGGGGCGGAACCAGUACAAUUGUGGGAGGUGGGAAAACUAACAGGGCUUGUUUGCCAUGGGGAUGAAGAGGAAGUUGUCCAAGAAUACGUGGGUUUGGAAGAGAGGGAUACUAAGGAGGUGAAACAUGCUAAGGAGGGGGAUAGGGAAGUUCUGCUAUGAUAAUUAUAAAUCUGAACAUUAGAGGAAUGGGGGGUGGUACCAAGGCUAGGUAUUUGAAUCAUCUCAUAUCUAGGGAGGGAGCAGAAUUUGUUUGUUUACAAGAAACUAAAGCAAUGCAGUGUUCGGAUGCCAAAUGUUACUCGCUUUGGGGGGAUAACAAAGUUGGAUGGUUACACUACAAAGGGGACAACGGGGGAGGAAGUUUGCUCUCGAUGUGGCACAAAGAUGUUUUCAUCUAUGAUAGUCAUGUGAUGGGGAAGGGGUUUAUAUUCGUCUUUGGACUGCACGUUAAAGCUAAUUGUAGGUGUGGGGUGGUAAAUGUCUAUGCCCCAUGCUCAUUGAGGGAGAAGAAGGUGUUGUGGGGGGAACUGACACGCAUCAAACUGGCUUAUCAAGAUUUGAUUUGGUGUUUUUUUGGCGAUUUCAAUGCUGUUAGAAUCCUAAGCGAAAGGAAAGGAACAAGGGAAAGGGAGUCUCAAUCAAGCGAAAUAAGAGAUUUCAACCGGUUUAUUGACACCAACCUGCUAAUUGAGUUACCUUAUGUCGGGAAGAACUUCACAUGGUUCAAUUCCAAUGGGAUGGCCAAGAGUAGGCUUGACAGAGUAUUGGUAUCCGAAGAUUGGAUGCAUAUUUGGCCAAGCUGCAAACAGUAUGUGCAACGCAGGGAAGUCUCUGAUCAUUGUGCCUUAGUAGUAAAAUCCGUGGAUAAGGAUUGGGGCCCUAAACCCUUUAAAACAAUUGACGCUUGGUUGUCUGAGAAAGGAUUUAUGAAGAUGGUGAAGGACAGAUGGUCGGCUUAUCCAGCACAAGGGAAUAGCUUCAUGAAGGUUAAAGAUAAACUGAAAUGGUUGAAGGGGGACUUAAAAGUGUGGAACAGGGACACUUUUGGCAAUAUGGAGACGAAAAAGAAGAGGAUUCUACAAGAGAUUGAGGAUUUGGAUUGCCAAGACUGUAAUGGCAACUUUGUGGAAAGUGAGAGACUGAGAAGGAUCGACUUAGUGGGUCAUCUGAAGGAGAUUGAUAAUAAGCUAGACUCUCUUUUACGUCAGAAGUCUAGAGUGAGGUGGUUCAAGAACGGGGACUCAUGUACAAAAUUCUUCUACUCAACUCUGAGGUGAAGGAGAAAAAGGAAUGAAGUGAAGGGUGCUGAGGUUGGGGGCCUGUGGUGUGAGGAGCCUAGCACAGUACGAACGGAAGCAAGAAGGUUGUUUGAUAAUAGGUUCAAAGCAACAAAAGACUUACGGGUUAGACUUGAUGCAGUUGAGUUCAAGUACCUAUCUAUGUCAGAUAAUCUGAGCCUGGUAGAGGGAUUCACUGAGAAGGAAGUGAGGGAGGCGGUGUGGCAAUGUGAAGGCUCAAAAAGCCCAGGACCUGACGGGUUUAACUUCAACUUCUUAAAGAAGGGAUGGGAGUUCGUGAAGGGUGACUUCAUGGAAGUCAUGAACUUAUUUCAUGAAACAGGGCGUAUACCGAAGGGGUGCAAUGCGUCCUUCAUUGCACUUAUCCCUAAAGUAAAGAAUCAUGUUCUUCUUUAUCAGUACAGACCAAUCUCCCUUGUAGGGGCUAUGUACAAAAUUAUAUCCAAGGUGUUGGCUGAAAGGAUCAAGAAAGUUUUGCCUACGGUUAUUGAUGAUUGUCAGUCGGCCUUCCUGAAGAACAGAGGGAUUUUAGAUAGCGUGUUAAUGGCUAACGAAGUGAUUGAGGACAUCAGAAGAUGUGGGAAAAGUGGGCUAUGCUUAAAGGUGGAUUUCGAAAAAGCCUACGACUCGGUUAGAUGGGAGUUCCUCUAUGAUAUGCUGAAUAAGAUGAGGUUUCAUAGAAAGUGGAUCAGGUGGAUUCAAGGUUGUCUAGAAAGCGCCUCUAUCUCAGUAUUAGUGAAUGGGAGCCCGACAGAAGAAUUCCAACCUAAGAGAGGGUUGAGACAGGGAGACCCACUAGCUCCCUUUCUUUUUCUGAUUGUUGCGGAAGGAUUGGCUGGGUUGGUAAGGCAAGCAGUGAAGGCAAAUCUACUAUCCGGUCUUAGGAUUGGUAGACAAGAGGUCGAGUUAAGCAUUUUACAAUUUGCUGACGACACUUUGUUUAUGUGCAAGGACUCCUUUAGUAAUGUGGUGACUUUAAAGGCUAUUCUCAGAGGGUUUGAGAUAGCCUCUGGUCUUAAGAUUAAUUUCCAUAAAUCCAAGCUUGCAGGCAUUAAUGUGCCAAGGAACAAUAUCAUAUGUUACAUGAAGACUUUGAACUGCGAUCAGAUGACAGUGCCUUUCAAGUAUCUUGGAAUCGAGGUGGGAGGCAACCCAAGGAGGAAGAAAUUUUGGGAGCCAGUCAUUGACAAGUUAGAAGCUCGGCUUAGCACGUGGAAAGGGAGAUUCUUAUCAAUGUCAGGCCGAAUUUGUGUCAUCAAAUCUGUUCUUAAUGCCGUACCCCUAUACUACUUAUCCUUGUUUAGAGCUCCGGUCUCAGUCUGCAAGAACAUUAUUAGUAUCCAAAGGAGAUUUCUGUGGGGUUGGGGGAAGGAAAAAAGGCCGAUAUCAUGGGUAAGUUGGAAAAACGUGUGUAAACCAAAAGAGGAGGGAGGACUGGGUAUCAUAGACAUACGUGACUUCAACUAUGCUUUGUUAGCCAAAUGGAGAUGGCGUUGGCUAUCGGAUGAGAAAGGAAGAUGGAAGGACAUUUUGGAGUCGAAAUAUGAUGGAGGAGGCGAGGUUAUGCAAUCCUCUCUUAAAUCACAGUCAUGGUGGUGGAGGGAUCUUCAUAAAGUAUGCACAGAAGGAAUAGGAGACGGAUGGUUCCAAGCCGAAAUGGGAUGGAUCCUAGGAUCCGGUGAAAAAGUAAAUUUUUGGGAGGACGUGUGGGUUGGAAAUUCCAACCUCAAAUCUUUAUUCCCCAGGCUGUAUUCUAUAUCUUGUAAUCAGGGCCAGACAGUGAAAGAAGUAGGUGAGUGGGAAGGGUCAGAAUGGCGAUGGAAUUUAAGGUGGAGGCGUGCCAGAUUCGAGUGGGAAUCAGUGUUGGAAACGGACCUAAUAAUACACAUAUCUAGGGCGAAUGUUAAAAGGCAGGAGCAAGACAUUCGGGUGUGGGGGAUCAAUGAAAAGGGGUGUUUUUCUGUAAAAACAGCAUAUGCAAGCCUAACUAAGAGAGGUGAUGGCACCCAUAAUGAAGUCUUUAAACUAUUGUGGAAGGCCAAGGCUUUUCCCGCUGUCACGAUCACUGCAUGGAGGGCCUUGUUGGACAGAUUACCAACUAGAGAGUCUUUGGAGAGGAGGGGAGUGACGAUGGAAUCAACGCUGUGCGUUUUAUGCCAAACUAAAGCUGAAUCUUGUCACCAUUUGUUUCUAGAGUGUGAUGUGGCUGUGCGUGUGUGGGAAUUAUGCUAUAGAUGGAUUGGUAUUUUAUCCGUACAACAUAAUGCCUUAAAAAAUCACUUUGAAAGCUUUANNNNNNNNNNNNNNNNNNNNNNNNNNNNNNNNNNNNNNNNNNNNNNNNNNNNNNNNNNNNNNNNNNNNNNNNNNNNNNNNNNNNNNNNNNNNNNNNNNNNCGAAGUAUUUGGGAGCAUAGGAACUUCAUUGUGUUCAAACAAGGGGUUGCAGAUGCAGAAGAGAUGUUUCAACAAGCUCAGCUUAAAUCUUGGUUAUGGAUGAAGAACAAGGCACACAAGUUCAACUACUCUUUUGUGGAUUGGGUUUUAAACCCAAUGCUUUGUAUCAAGAGUUAUAAGUGAAGAUAUAUGGUAUAGGAAUGUUAGGAGGUCCUGACGAUGAUCUUGUGCACAGAAGGAUGUACAGAGCUACAAAGGGUACACUUUUGUUGUUUAUAGUUUGGUUGGUACUCUCGGCCCAAUCGGUGUUUUGUUCAAAACUGCAGUUAUGAGCUAUAGGUGGAAUGGAGGAGUAUUAGAUGCUGGACGUGGUUAUGGACAUGGCUUUGGACACUCGUUGCGCUCUCUGGGGUGAAUGGUGCAAUGGACUGGAGUGAUAGUAUGGGUAGCUGAUGCUGCUAGAUGGGGUAGGGAUGGCCUGGAACGGUAUGCAGUAAAUGCUACAUUAGGUGGGUGGGGCGGAAUGGUGAUGCUGUAAGGUUGGUUUGCUGAAGCAAGGUCUUGGACCGAAUGGGUGAAAAGGCUUUGAUGGUGUCACAGCUUUUGGGUGCAGUAAGGGGCAUCACGAAGUAGGAACGCUUUGGUUGCCUUUUCACAUGUGUUAUGGCAGGUCUUUGUAAUCAUAGCAGCAACACUCAAUUCUCAGGGUGCAACACGGACACUGUGCUGAACGUGGAGGUAGAAUCUGUUAGCAAAAUGUGGUAAAAAGUGAAUGGGUCCAUGAUGCUUUUCUGGUCUAAGAAACUGAAAGUGCCUAUGGCUUUCGGUGGGAGACUUGCAUCCAACUCUGAAGCAAUUAUGCAGUGGUCAUUUUCUUAGUUUUUCCAAGUGGAUCACGCCUGAGGUGGGGCAGGGGUUUUUCUUAUAGCUAAGUUGUGUACUCACUGCUGUAGUAUAUUCUGUCAUAUAUAGUUGUAUGCUUAAGCUUUGAACACUUUUUGUAUACGGGUUGGGACACCCCUGAAGUGUCCCGUUCUAUUUCAUUAAUUCAUUGCUGAUAAAAAAAAAACAAAUAUAACCAGAGUAACCACCCUUCAUCCAACUUCCAUGUAUCAGAUUAUUUGGUGCCAUCUGAUUACAGCACCUUCAACUGCACCUUACAGAGCUCCCUUCACAAAACUUAUCCACAGCACAUGAUUUGAACCAUACAAACCUUGUGCCACCUUGCAUGUCAAGACCAGAAAAGUGGCUUCUAUUUAGGGUCAACUUCAGCUGACAAAAGGCUUCCCGAAUUCCGCCAAGACCAGAGUCAUACAAGCAGCUUGGUUGCCACUUAGUAAAAGAGCUUCCUACGCUUGGUUAAGGCAUUUGAACAUUUUUCCAAUGGAGCACGGCUCCAGAUCCACAUCUUCGUAGAUGAGGUUCCUCCCUAGGAAAGCAAGGUGGUCUAGUUCCACCCAAAGCCAGUAAAGUCCAACUGUAGCAGACCUGCAGCAAGACACCCUUAAGCAGCACCAGACAACACCUAGAAAACAAAAAGCAUACAGCUCCUAGACACAAUUCAACAACAACUUUGAAGUCUCUUAGACUUCUGAACCUUGUCCACACCAGCUUGAACUUGUGCAAGAAUCCCUCGUGAUUCGCUUAAGCUUCAUUACAAUCUUCUUAGAACCUGUACUUAAUUCUACUUUCACUCAGCAAACCUUCAGAUCCCUUAAUAUGGCAAGACAAAUCCUAAAAUCUAAAACAGACCAUCAGGAUCAAAUUUUCCAACAUCUCUCAAGCUGGCCAAAAAGCCCAAAUCCAUAUGCUUCUCUUGAUAGCCCCAUACUAGUAGCCAUUACACUUUUUGAAUUUUUACAUUCAAUUGUGUAGCUUUGCAUACUAGAUUCAUAGUUACUGUCCCACCAACACCUCCAUCUGUGUCAUGGCCCUAUACUUUCACAUUUCAUAUGACAGCAACACCCUCUUGGUCCUUAAUUCCUUGCCCAAUAAUCCAGCACAUUAGAAUACCUGCAGAAAAAUGCGAGUAGAUGUUUUAUAGUCCCUUUCACACCAAACUCCAUUCUAAAUGCACAGGGCCAUGACACGGGUUGGUGUUGCUCCAACUAUAGGGUGGACCUCUCAAAACCCACCAGUGCCUAGCCCCCAAACUCCAACAGUCCUCUAAAGUGAGCUUUAUAUUGGGGGGAAUACUACAACAGUUUGCACUCCCAUCCUGACACAGCCCCCACUUAUUCCUCCAACCAAUUAGAGCUGAUCACUAAACCCUAUGUCCAGGCCUUUAGACCAGAUAUGCCAACAAACCUUCCGUUUCUCUAGGGACCACUAGAUACAUCACUUAACCCCACUUACUUAUAGCUUCCAAUGCAGAUAAGUGGGUUCAAGACCCAAUCCACAAAAGAAUAGUUGAAUGUGUGUACCCUAUCCUUUAGUCAUAGUCACGACUUGAGUUGGACCGUUUGGAAUAUCUCUUCCGCAUCAACUAUCCCUUGCUUAAAAAUUAUAGAGUUCCUGUGCUCCCAGAUACACCUCACUAUAGCUGCCAAAACACCUUUCCACAAUAGGUUUUGUGUACUACUGGCCUGAGAUAAGUAGAAAUUCUCAAAGUGAGUCAUAAGAUCAUUGUGUUGGACAAACAAGAUACCAAUCCAUUUAAAGCACAACAACCAAACAGCCUGGGCAACUUUGCAUUCUAGGAAUAGGUGUUGGCAUGAUUCAUCCUUAGUCUGACACAACGCACAUAAACUUGUGUCCAACGUCACCCCUCUCCUACUCAAACUCUUUCUUGUUGGGAUUCUUCCCAAGAGUACCCUCCAUGUUGUGGUUAUCACAUUGAGGAAUGCUUUAGCCUUCCACAGGUACUUGAACACAUCAUGAUGAGGACCUAUUACAUGCUUAGCUAGACAUUCAUAUCUGAAUUCACAAAGAACACCCUUGAUUCAUCACACCUCCACUUCUGUAUAUCUUUAUCUUCUGUAGACAUGUUAGCCCGAGAAAUGUGCAUAACAAGAUUUGCUUCCAUGACGGCUUCCCACUCGAAUCUGACUCGCCUCCAUCUUAGAUUCAACUUCCAUACUGAUUCUUUCCACAUUCCAACCUCUUCCACCUUUUGGACCUGAUUUAGAGACAGGAAGUACAACCUGGGAAACAAAGUUUUGAGGUUAGUAUUACCAACCCACACAUCCUCCCAAAAUCUAACUUUGUCUCCACCUCCUAUUUUUCAUACUAAUUCUUCUUGGAACCAACCAACUCCUCCUCCCUCUCUACAUACUUUAGAUAAGUCUCUCCACCAACAGGUUUGGAAUUUCACUGGUGUAUGUGAACUGUCUAACUCCAAGCCAUACUUUGAGUCCAGAAACUCCUUCCACCUUCCUUUCUCUUCUGAUAAGAGACGUCAUCUCCACUUAGCCAGGAGAGCAUAGUUAAACUUUCGUAUAUCUUUGAACCCCAGUCCACCUUCCUCUUUCGGUUUACACAGGUCUUCCUAGCUUACCCAAGAGAUUGGUCUCUUCUCCUUUCCCCAACCACAUAGGAACCUUCGUUGAAUAAUGAUUAUGCUUUUAUAUACCUAGUCCGGCUCUUUGAAGAGGGAGAGGUAGAAAAGUGGUACAAUAGUGAUAACUGAUUUGAUUAGACAUAUUCUCCCCGUCAUGGAUAGAAAUCUCCCUUUCCACACACUGAGUCUAGCUUUUAACUUGUUUAGAAUAGGCUCCCAAAACUGCUUCUUCCUUGGGUUCCCUCCCACUUCUAGGCCCAAAUAUAUAAACGGGACUCCCAUCUGCCCAUAAUUCAAGGUCUUUGUGUAGCAUACAAGAGCGUUUCUAUCAACAUUGAUGCCUGCUAGCUUGGAUUUGUGAAAGUUAAUCUUCAAGCCUGAUGCUAGCUCAAAGCCCCUAAGAAUAGCCUUCAUAGUUACCACAUUGACAUAGGCAUCCUCACAUAAGAAGAGAGUAUCAUAUGCAAAUUGCAUGAUACUAAUCUCUACCUCCUUCCUUCCAAUCUUAGUACCUGACAAUAGGUUGGCCUAUUGGCUUCCCUUACUAACCCGGCUAGGCCUUCAGCUACCACAAUAAAGAGAAAUGGGGCUAAUGGGUCACCCUGCUUCAAACCUCUUGUUCGUUUAAAUUCCUCCGUAGGACUCCCAUUAACUAGCACGAAGACGGUAGCGGAUUCCAUACAGCAUCAGAUCCAUUUUAUCCAUUUGCUGUGGAAACCCAACCUGUGAAGCAUAUCAUAUAAGAAAUCCCACCUAAUCGAGUCAUAAGCUUUUUCAAAAUCCACCUUAAAGCACAAUCCUUUCCCGUCGUACCUCUUCAGAUCUUCUACCACUUCAUUAGCCAUAAGCACACUAUCCAGCAUCUCUCUGUCCUUUAAAAAUGUUGAUUGGCUUUCAUCGAUAACCGAUGCUAGCACUUUCUUUAUUCUGCCAGCCAACACCUUUGAUAUGACUUUGUAUAUUGCGCCCACUAGUGAGAUAGAACGAUAUUGUUCUAGCUUGGUGGGGUCUCUUACUUUAGGUACUAAUGCAAUGAAUGAUGCAUUACACCCUUUCAGAAUUUGUCCUGCUUCAUGAAAGUAAGCUAAAGAUGCAACAAACUCAUCUUUGAUAAAAUCCCAACUUUCCUUAAUAAAGUUGAAAUUAAAUCCAUCAGGAUUAGGACUCUUUGACCCAUCACAUUGCCAUACUGCAUCCCUCACUUCUUCCUCGGAGAAAACAAAUAUAAGACUCACGUUGUCUUCGGGGGAAAGAGAUUUAAACUCUACCGCAUCGAGUCUUACCCCGAAAUCUCUUGUUGCUUUAAACCUAUUUUCAAAUAGCUUCUUCGCUUCUAUUAGAACGGUAUUAGGUUCUUCACACCAUUGGCCCCCAACCUCAACUCCCUUGACUUCAUUUUUAAGUCUUCUCCACCUUAAGGAAGAAUGGUAGAACCUAGUGCAGGAAUCCUCAUUCUUCAGCCAACUUGCUCUAGUCUUUUGACAUAUAAGGGAUUCUAUCUUUUUAUCAGUCUCCCUUAGUCGGUUCGCCAGUUCAGUUCUUUUCAACCUCACACGUCCCAAGAGAUCACCAUUGUCGUCGUCUUGGCAAUCUAGGAUCUCUAUUUCCUGCAGGAUGCUAUUCUUGGUUGACUCUAGGUUCCAAACACAUCUUUAUUCCAUAGUUUUAAGUCAACCUUCAGCAAUUUUAGCUUUUCUUUGAUCUUCGUUAUUUCAUUCCCCUGUACUAAGUAUGAUUGCCAUUUUCCUUUCACCAAAUCAUUAAAACCCCUCUCCAUGUGCCAGACGUCAAUGGUCCUAAAAGGUUUAGGACCCCAAUCCUUAUCCACGGUCUUCACCACUAACGCACAGUGGUCUGAAACUUCCCUCCUCAGGACAUAUUGUUUGCACAUUGGCCAUUUUUGUAGCCACUCUUGAGAGACAAGAACUCUGUCUGGUCUACUUUUAGUCGAACCAUUUGACUUAAACCACAUAUAUUUCUUACCUACUAUAAGUAAAUCCAACAAUAAGUUGGAGUCGAUGAAGCUAUUAAACCCAAAUAUCUCACUUGAUUGGUCUCCCCUGUUCCUUACACCUUUCCUUUCACUUCUGCUUCUUAUGGCAUUAAAGUCACCACAGAAGCACCAAACUGAGUCUUGAGAUGCCACUUUAAUAUUGGUUAGUUCCUCCCAUAGAAUCUUCUUUUCACCCAGAUGCAGCGUAAAUAUUUACUACAACACACCUACAGUUCGAUUUUAGGUGCUGACCAAAUAUAGCAAUGUACCCCUCCCCCAUCUGGUGACUUUCAAAACUAAAAGCUUCUUUGUGCCACAUUGACAACAAACUUCUAGCUCCGUUGUCCCCUUCAUUGUGUAUCCAUUCAACUUUGUUGUCCCCCCACAUAGAAAAACAUCUAGGAUGCGAAAAGACAGUUGUUUUUAUUUCUUGCAGACAUACAAAUUCUGCUCCCUCACAAGUGAUGAUAUGCCUCAUGUACCUAGCUUUGGUACCUCCUCCCAAACCUCCAAUAUUCAGGUUUACUAUCAACAUAAAUAACCACUUUUGUUACCCUCCUCAUAACUCUGCAUAACCUCCAAAUCUCUCACAUCCAUACACUGAAAUUCUUUCACAACCUCUACUUCAUCCCCACGGCAAGCGAUGCCAAUAUGUUUAUUAAUCUCCCAUAGCUUUGAUGGUUCCUCCAUAUAUUCCGACUCACGAUAUCUUGAGUUGCAAUUAUUGAUAUCCCCAUCAGAAAUGGUACAAAAUUCUUUCCUACACAAGAAUGAGAGGUAUCCCUUACCUAGGAUGUUCUUGCACUUAUUCUGACCGACCGCCUAGGGUGGGUGCUUGAUUCGCCCAAUUCCCAUAGUCCUUUCAUCUUGUGCCGUCGUGGGGGUGUUUUGCAGAUGCUUCCCACAUAUGCUUCCUCAUCUCCUAGCAAGAGAGAUACAUUCCUGCUUGGGCUAGUAUCCUUUGGUUCGUCAUUAGCUUCUUGGGCCCUAUGCAUAUCACGAUUAUCUUGUAGACCAUCUUGCUCCCACGGUUUCAGCAUCAAUCCGACAAGCGGCUCGGGUUUAGCUGGUUGCCUCAACGUGUUUUCUUCGUUGGAUUCUUCCUCUAGCACCUGCACCACCGAAGCUGUAGCUUGACAUUCGUAUUCUCCAGUAUCGAUUUUCUCUUCGCACCCUGACCCACAACCCAUCUGCAUAGACCCUUCAUCUCCCUCUUCCAAUUGGGCCAACGCACAACCCUUCUCUUGUCCACUUCGGGCCAAUUGCUUCCCCUGUUGGGCCAAGGAAGUAUUGGGCUUACGCUGGGUAAAGUUGUUCUCAACAUCCACCACAAGUCUAGCCAGCUCAGCGUGUUCAGAGAGGCUAUCACUAUCGGGGUCGCAGAUGUAGGUAGAGUGGUUGGCAGGAUCAACCUCUUCAGAUACCUUCAGACCCUUCAUUCCUUCAUUAGUGAAACUCUUAAAAACUUUUUCCUGGCUUACCUCUCCUUUCGUUGCAGAUACCUCAAAUGGUUUAUCCUUUGUCGUAUGCGCUUCCUGUUCCCCACCUUCAUCUGCCUCUCCUUCCUCCGCCUCCCCCUUUGACCCGCGGUCCUUCCUAUCCCAAACCUUGACCUCCUCCUCACAGCUUUUCGCAAAUAAGUCUGUUUCUUCUAUAUAGGUCUUCGACAAAGAGAUACUAUCAAAACACUCAUAAACAUUGAGGGCACACUUACAUUGGCUUUCAUUUAUUGUUGAGUUCUCCUCUUCAAUGAAUAUAUUGAACGUUUGGUCAUUUAUCUACAUACCCUUCGCCAACCUAGCGUUACAGUUCUUCAAUAAAUGAACUUGAAGUCUGGCGUAUUCAAGGUUCUCCCAUAAUAACGUGGACUUAUCAAUGGCCACCAGCUUUGCCACUUCUCCUACCACUUUAGAAAAAUAGUCCUUGUUCCAGAAGGUGAUCAGCAAACCAUAGCACCUCACCCAGACUAUCUUAUGGCCUGCUACAUAAUCUUCCAACCAAGGGUCAACGAUCUCAAAGACACUUUCGAACCACUCCUUGUUAAGUUUCAAAAGAUCUUCCAUGCUCUCCCCUUCUCUUGGCGUCAGGAGAGUUAGGUUGUCACCCAAAUACCUCACUUUUAUCAUGUUCAUUCCUCCUUUCACAAAUUCUUCUCCCAGUUGGGCAAAGUUCAUAUCUAUAUUGAACUGGCCAAUGACACUGUUUUCCAUCCACGACAAUACAUGAUGUUGCGUCUUGAUAACAGGUCCCUUCCAUUUCUGUUGCAAUUCACCUUUAACUAUGUCAGCAUAGGAUUUGUUUCCUUUCUUUUCCACCCAUACCUCUUUUCUCUUCAUCUUCCCGUUUAACACCGGAACCUCCUGGAUUCGCUUCUUGGUAUCCUUUGGGAUCUCCUUGUGUAGGAUUCUGUUUUCCCUUCUCGAUACUCUGUUAGAUUCCAACUCAUGCCUUCGAUAUCUUGGAAUGUUCACGUAAAGCUUCAUGUUUCCUAUAUACACUACAAGAAAAUCAUGAAAUAGAAACCAAUUUUUAGAGACCAAAAUAAUUAGUUGCAAUGGUAACUAAAUUAGAUACCAUUUUAGAAAAUAAAAAAAAAUUUGGUUUCUAAAUUAGUUUCUAUUAUUGUUAAAUAGUUUCUAAAUUGGUAUCUAAUUAGCAACCAAGGUUUUAAAGACCAAAUUUAGAAACUAAAUAAUUGGUAGUUAAAACUUUGGUUGCUAAUUAGAUACCAAUUUAGAAACUAUUUAACAAUAAUAGAAACUAAUUUAGAAACCAAUUUUUUAUUUAGUUUCUAAAAUGGUCUCUAAUUUAGUUACUAUUGCAACUAAUUAUUUUGGUCUCUACAAAUUGAUUUCUAUUUCAUGAUUUUCUUGUACUGAUAGAUUUGGUCUAGCUCCCUCUCCAGUCGUCCUGCAUUUCUCACUUCAAAGAAUCUUACAAACCCAAAUCUUCUCUCCCAUCUGUUUAGCCUACGGGAUAUGAAGACUUCUUUUACCCUAGUCCAUUUUUGGAAGACCUUAAUCAUGUCUAGUUCACCAAAGCCAUUUGGGAAGUUUGAGAAGAAGAAUGUUGUAAAAUCAUAUGUAGGUUUAUGUGGUUUGUGGUCAUACCCAUGGCCACCGUAUCUCUGAGUUCUUCUCCCUUCCAUUUCUCUUGGGUUAAGUUCUUUGUUGCAAAGUUGAUGUCUGAAUUUCUAUGUGGGGUAUUGGCUGGACCAAUUAAUGAACAAUGAUUGUGAAAAUUAAUUUUUUGUUUGUCUUAUAAGUAGUAGAAUUUAAAUAUAUUAUGAUAAUUAUAUAUGCAUGUUUCUCUCUUUAUGUAGAUGGAGAAUAAUGGUGGCUUCAAUGUCUUCGUCAAUCCCAAUGUGGACUACGCAUUCAUAGUGGCGCUACUUAUGAUUGUUAAGGACAUGAAUUGUUGUGAUGAGCCCCAGAAUAGUACAAAUACAAAUAAAACUAUUAGUGCCCUAAAAAUAAUUUCAUUAUCUUUUUGAAGUAGCUAAAUAAAUAUAUUGAAUAAGAAAAUAUAAAUAAAAGUGAGGAAAUAAGUUUGGAGUCCUCCCUAAUGUACUUAUAUAGAUGUCUGUUGUAUUAUGUUGUAUAUGGCUAUUUCUUUAUCUUUUAUUAUAUCAAUGACAGUAAAGUUAAUGGUAACUUAUAUAGAUCCGAAAUGUGUGGGAGAAGUUUUUUUUACCUUAUCUCUUGUAAUAGCAAAACCCAAACGACACAAUUUUGUAGGCAAAACAAAAAAAAAAACAUUCAUGGUAUAGGAAAAACUUAUCUUAAAGUUAGUUAUAUCAACAAUUACCAAGUUGAUAUGUUAUGUAAAUAACUUACUCACGAAUUAUUCUUUGAAUAAUAACUUAGUUAUAGGUAAGUUACCAUUGAAUAAAUUUGUGAAUAACUUCGUAGAUCAAUGCAUGCAUGGAUAACUUAUCUAUAGAAUUUCUUUUAGCUAAAUCAUGCAUGGACUUUUUUUUAUGAAUAAAUCCAUAAGAAAUAGUAAGAAUAUUUUUCGUCUUCCAAGUCAUGCCACUCUAUACUUCUAUAGUUACAAAUGUGAAAGAAAUUUUAUCUCAACAUUUAAAUAUCAUAUCUCAAAUAUUCAACGUUUAGUUCAAACAUCCAUAUGCAACACACUGAAAAAAAAAAGUUUUAAGGGGAUUUAUUUUUACAUUAUUCAGGGUUAAAACCUCUAUUAAGUCAUUUAUCCAGGGUUGCAGUUUCCCCGCUAAACCAUUCUUGGGAAACGUGUUCAUCGGGGUUCUUUUAAACCUUAGGAAAAGUCUUUCACAAUCCAUGUUCAUGGGUUUAAGAACCUCCGUAAAAUAUCAUGAGUUUUCAAAACCUUCGUAAAAUAUCAUUAGUUUCAAAAUUUUCGUAAAAUGACUUGCCAUUUGAUAUAACCUUCAACCUCAUUUUCCAUCAUCUUUAACAAUUCUCCGGACUUCUCUCUUCCACUUUAGAUACACUGCUCUCCAGCACAUGCUCAAUGGCCGCCAACGACAGUCCUAGUAAGGAAUCACAAUUCAGCCACACUUAUGUCUAAGGAGAAGAAACAUUAAAUAAGGCAUUGUCUUCUUCGAACUCCAAUAUUGUUCUUCCCCAACUUGGAUCACAAGCCACUAUUAUCUAACACAGCAACAACUGAUGUUUAUCACUGUUUUAUAUAUCCUAAAGAAUUGCAUUAUCUAUCAAAUGUGGGCUUCAAAACCAUGUGUGUUCUUGACUAACAAUUGCAAGAACAUAUUGCAAGAAGAAAUUAACUUUAUUACUUCUCACUUUUACAGUGAAUUAAUUAUUAGAUGUAUUUUAAAAUAAAGGCCUUAAUUUAAAAUAUUUCAAAAUUAUGAGAAUUAAAUAUUAACAAUUAUAACUAAAACUAAAAUUGCACAUAAAAUAUACGUACAUCAAAAGUUAAAACAAAAUAAGUCAGAUUUUUUGAAGUAUGAGCUCGUAACAAAAAAAAACUAGGAAUUAUAUAAACCAAAUAAUCAAUCAUAAGAUAUAUGCAAAUAUUGUUAAAAUACUUAUUAUCCAAGAUUAGUUGUUGAAAUACUUAUUAUCCAAGGUUUUUUUGUAGAUUUUUUAAAAUAAAUUUUUGAAACUUGAGAAAACUUAUUUGUAAUGGAAAGUUACACUUUCAAAAUUUUAGAGAAUUUAGUUAUAAAGUAUAUAAAAUAUAUUUAAACUAUGUAGUUUUAAUUAUUUAUUUAUAAAUAGAUUUAAUUAUAUUUAUUUAUUCAAGUUUGAAAAAUAUGGAGUGUUUUAUUGAGGUUCUAUAAUAAAUCUUUGAAAUUUAACGAAGGUUAAAAAAACUCUGUUAUUUUGUUGGGAUUUUAGAAUAAACCUUUGAAACUUAACAAAGGUUAAAAGGACUUUAAUUUACUGAGGUUGUAGAAUAAACCUUUGAAACUUACUGAAAGUUAAAAAAAUCCUCUGUUAUUUUGCCGAGGUUUUAGAAUAAACCUUUGAAAUUUAAUGAAGGUUAAAAAAACCUCCGUUAUUUUGUUGAGAUUUUAUAAUAAACCUUUGAAAUUUAACCAAGGUUAAAAAACCUCUGUUAUAUUGCUGAGGUUUUAAAAUAAACCUUUUGAAUUUAAUGAAGGUUAAAAAAAAAUUCGUUAUUUUGUUGAGAUUUUAAAAUAAACCUUUGAAAUUUAAUGAAGGUUAAAAAUGUAAAACAUGGAAGCUUUGAUGAUCCAAAUCAAAUCUGAGUGAAGGGUUGAUGCUUUGGUGUUUUGGUUGGAGCUUAGUUCUAGGGUGUUUAGAAUUCUUGUACAGAUCAUUCUUGUCCUAUGCACAAAGCUAAAUCAAUCUAUGUUAAAAGAGAAAAAUGUUUUUCUAAGCAAAGAGAAAAACAACCGGUUGAAAUCACGAUAUAAUCAGUUGUUUUACACUUAGCCUGAUUGAAGGUUUUCAAUACUGUUUUUGACUUGGUUGACUAACUGUCAUAACCAAUUCAACCGGUUAAAACGACAUUUCAACCGGUUGAUUGUCACGUUUCAUAACAUCUUUUUCAAAAACCUGUUGAAUCUGUUUUCAGUUCGGAAGAUUUGUAUAAGAGUUAAUCUUGUCAACCUGAUUCUAGUGUUCUUGGUCCUUGUUGUAAGAACAAUAUAUAUAGCUUACAUAAUAGUGUUAAUGAUUAUAGUCUNNNNNNNNNNNNNNNNNNNNNNNNNNNNNNNNNNNNNNNNNNNNNNNNNNNNNNNNNNNNNNNNNNNNNNNNNNNNNNNNNNNNNNNNNNNNNNNNNNNNNNNNNNNNNNNNNNNNNNNNNNNNNNNNNNNNNNNNNNNNNNNNNNNNNNNNNNNNNNNNNNNNNNNNNNNNNNNNNNNNNNNNNNNNNNNNNNNNNNNNNNNNNNNNNNNNNNNNNNNNNNNNNNNNNNNNNNNNNNNNNNNNNNNNNNNNNNNNNNNNNNNNNNNNNNNNNNNNNNNNNNNNNNNNNNNNNNNNNNNNNNNNNNNNNNNNNNNNNNNNNNNNNNNNNNNNNNNNNNNNNNNNNNNNNNNNNNNNNNNNNNNNNNNNNNNNNNNNNNNNNNNNNNNNNNNNNNNNNNNNNNNNNNNNNNNNNNNNNNNNNNNNNNNNNNNNNNNNNNNNNNNNNNNNNNNNNNNNNNNNNNNNNNNNNNNNNNNNNNNNNNNNNNNNNNNNNNNNNNNNNNNNNNNNNNNNNNNNNNNNNNNNNNNNNNNNNNNNNNNNNNNNNNNNNNNNNNNNNNNNNNNNNNNNNNNNNNNNNNNNNNNNNNNNNNNNNNNNNNNNNNNNNNNNNNNNNNNNNNNNNNNNNNNNNNNNNNNNNNNNNNNNNNNNNNNNNNNNNNNNNNNNNNNNNNNNNNNNNNNNNNNNNNNNNNNNNNNNNNNNNNNNNNNNNNNNNNNNNNNNNNNNNNNNNNNNNNNNNNNNNNNNNNNNNNNNNNNNNNNNNNNNNNNNNNNNNNNNNNNNNNNNNNNNNNNNNNNNNNNNNNNNNNNNNNNNNNNNNNNNNNNNNNNNNNNNNNNNNNNNNNNNNNNNNNNNNNNNNNNNNNNNNNNNNNNNNNNNNNNNNNNNNNNNNNNNNNNNNNNNNNNNNNNNNNNNNNNNNNNNNNNNNNNNNNNNNNNNNNNNNNNNNNNNNNNNNNNNNNNNNNNNNNNNNNNNNNNNNNNNNNNNNNNNNNNNNNNNNNNNNNNNNNNNNNNNNNNNNNNNNNNNNNNNNNNNNNNNNNNNNNNNNNNNNNNNNNNNNNNNNNNNNNNNNNNNNNNNNNNNNNNNNNNNNNNNNNNNNNNNNNNNNNAGUUGGUAGUGUAGCACAGGUGUAGUGACAAUAUAAUAGUUGUGUAUCUCUUCUCUCUCUCUCUCUCUCUCUCUCUCUCUCUCUCUCUCUCACUCCUUAUAAACUGUUUGAUUUUAUUUUGUAUUGAUGCUGUCAUAAAAAACCGAUUAAAACGAAGUUUCAACCGAUUGAUAUUCUGCAAACAGUUUCAAUUACCUUGUUUGAUUGGCUUCCUUGAUUACUCUUCUGUGAUUGUUGUUAAAACUUCAUUCUUAUCCAAUCUUUUCAAAAAUCUUUUGACAAACAAUUCACCCCCCUCUUGUUUAGGCCAUUAAUUCUAACAAAAAAAACCUUCGUUAUUUUGUUGGUGUUUUAGACCAACCUUUGUAACUUAAUGAAGGUUAAAAAACCUUCGUUAAUUAAAUCACAUCCUAGGGUUAUAUUAACCUCCACUAAAUAACCUCCGUUAAAAUCCUUUUUUUCUUGUAGUGACAACAACAUUUAACUUCAAACUAUAUUUUAACUUAAAACUCUAUAAAUUACUAAAUGUUAAGAGUGUGUAACUUGACAGAGGGUGUUAACAAAAUGUUUUCCUAUCGAAAAUCACAACCCCUCACACAAAGUCCACCCCCGAUGUAUGAAUGGGAUGAGGAUGCAUGAUCCACUCAUCAUAUUUCGAUAGGCAUCUUGGAGGGUGUGGAGUGGUGUGGCUCGAACUUCCCAUCCUCCUUAUUGCUCUCUCAUGGUAGGAAUUCACAUAGAAUUCUCUCAUUAUGCUCUCGUUGAAAGUGUGUUGAGUUGUACCAACUUAUUCAAUCUUCCGCUCUUUAAUUUUAAGACAAACCACUCAUAUUUACCUUACUGAACUCUCACCCAUCUUUGAUAUGAGUUUCUUCUACAUAUUUGCUUUAAAUGAUACUCAAGAAGUGGAGGGUAGAAGAUAUCCCCAUCAUAAAGAAGUUAUUCAUUAUUUCGAUUGUCAGCACUAGAAUAAGAGAUCCCUCUCAAAAGAAUCCAUUGCCUUUUAGUAACAUUGUUGGAGUCAAUCACUCUUGAUACAACCCAAUUCAAUAAGCAGAUGACUAAGGACACCACGAAAAUUUCACAAUUAGGUUAGUCAUCUCAACAUCCAAGACAAGACCGUACCAAACAUCAGAAGGACCUCAGCAGAAGAAAAACUGGACAUAGACCAGAGCAUCAAAUGUUGUUUCUUCUUGUCGUUUUACAAGACAAGUUUAUGUAAAUAAUUUUGGCUCUUUCUAGGGGUUCAAAUAGAAAAAUAAGCUAGAGUAGGGUGUACUUAGUAUAAAUUGGGCUUGUGCCAAAGCCCACCUUAACCUAGCCUCUAGAAACACAUCCAUGUGCCACCCAUGUGCUCACCUUUGACCUAGAUUCUAGAAGACUCCCCAUGUGCUCACAUUUGACCUAGUUUCUAGAUGCUUGUAGUCAUUUAUACCCCUACCGUUCCUCUCUUCCUCUUCAAGGCACUUAUCUCUAUAAAUAGGGUGUCUCCCCUCUUGUAAAGAACACAUUGAAUUUUGAAUAGAAAAUAAAAUUUGCCAGAGUGUUUAGUGAGUUGAGUCUCCUAGAAUUUGGGUCUUAUCUUGAGUGCUCUACACUUCAAGUGGCGGCUCUUCACCACUCAUCUUGGAGUCUCCUCCCCCUCCAAGUGGCGUGACCACACCUUCAUCAUCCUAAGCUUCUCUUUCCUUUCAUCUUUUUAUUUUUCUUUUCCUUUAUGUUCUUGUGUUCAUCUUUUGCUAUUCAGUUUCCAUCUUCUUUCUUUCCCUUAUAUGCUCUUUAAUUUUGCACCACAUUCAUCAUCAACACCAUAUAAUUGUGUUUUCUCUUUGUCCUCUAGAAGUGAACCUUUACACUUACUUAAUCACGUGGUUAAGUUCUUGUCCAGUGGGAAUCUUCUUUGAGUUUCUCACCAUAUUCGACUUAAAAUAAAAAACCAUAAACAAAAUGAAACACAUAAAAAUGUACAAUUCUAAAAUUAACUCACAUCAACUUUUCUCAUAAUCAUUGUUCUAGUCAUCUAUUAAAAAAAAUAAUAGUAUUAGAAAGUCAAUGCAUCAUUUUAUGUAAAAAAAUAUUAGUGUUAGUUUUUAAAAAAUAAGAAGCACUUAAGCGAAGACGAAAUUGUUUAAAGUGUCAAUCAUUUAAAUGAUAAAAAAAAAUAGGGUCUAAAGGACAUCAAUCAAGAAAGUUAGUAUUUACUUAAUGUUCAACGAGGUGCUUUAAUGUCUUCAAAUCCAAGUGGAAUGCAUGAAGAUCCUUGUUGUUGGUUGUGUGUGUCUAAAAGUAGUUGAAUUUGUUAAUUCACUCCUUGUGGUGAUCCAAGGUUAAAUGAAUCUUAAUCCUUUUGAAAAAAGAUAUGUUUUCUAAAGAAAUUGAAAAUUCAACAUGUUGAAAUGUCGAUUCAACUGGUUGUUUUACACUUAGUAGAUUUUGAAAAGGUUUUGGAAAGCUUGACUUUGUUUGAAUUUGCUAUCAAGCCAAUCGUUUGAUUCGUGAUUUCAAUAGAUUGAUUUUCUGAAAACCUUAACAAAAUUUUGUUAAGUUGUGGAAAUUUGUUUUAAAUGAUUAAAAUUGCUUUUGGUUCUUGAAUUAAAUGCUUUGACCAUCUGAUUGGAGUUUAAAUAAGUUGUUUUACGCUCCUGGUCAUUAACUAAGUAAGAGAGUUUAAUCAAAACUAAUUUUUCAAGAUUUCAAAGUGUUUUGGAUCAUUCUCAAGUGUGGAAUAGGAUAUUCAUGUAUUCUCUGUACUUUAAUCUUUGAUUGUACCUAUGUGUAUUCUAUUCCUUUAUUUCUUGAUCACUGUAAUUCUGUUUGACUUGGUGUUGUGCACUUUCAGAGGUUGUUCUGAAAAUUGUGUGUUGUUUGCCAAAGGUGGUGUGUGUUCUUGAAGGGUUCAAGAUCACCAUUUUGGUGUGUUGUUUGUAAUUAGGGUUUGAUUACUCAGUGAAUUCUUAGUGUUUUUUUAGUAUUGGAUGUAGUUCUUGGUAAAGAGUGAACGAGUAUAAACAUUUUGUUAUCCUUACUCUUUUUAAAACUACUUUAGCUUUGAUUUUAUAAAUUGCUAGUAUAAACAACCAAUUGUUUAAAAAAACAACGGUUGAUUUUCUGUAAUCAAACUAAGAACAGUUUUCUAAUUGGCUGAAAUGAUUGGUUUUCAAUCUACCUUCGAUACUUGCGAAAAUCUUUCAUAAACAAUUUAUACUCCAUCUUUUUUACGGCUUAAGUUAAAUUCAACAUACAUUUAAGAGGCAAUCAUUUAAGUGAAUUAAGACACUUAAGUGCUUUCACUUAAACAUACUUAUUUAAACAUACUUAUUCUAAUAUAAGAAGUUAUCGCUUUAAGCGCAUGAUUCUUCACACUUAAAACAAAUUUGAAAAACACGAGCUCACCAUAUCUUUCAAAGCUACCCUCAAUAACUAUAACUAUACAGAUGAAAAUUACAUUUAUUGCUAUAGUAAAUAUUUGUUAUUGAGAGAACAAAUGUAAAAUAGCAAGCAAAAACAUAAAUAAAAAAGGAGACAAGAAAAGAAAAUAUAAAAGUGAAGUGCAGGAAUGAUGAUAACAAAAGAUCACAUGAUGAAUGCCAAAGAAUCUGAAGAAAUUAUAAGUGGAGAAAGUAGAAAAGAAAGGUAUGUUAAAAAAUGAGUGGGAUAGGAAUUAUACAAGAAGGUGAGGGACGAAUAGAUGUAAAUAUGCUUGUGAUUAGGUUAACAACGAUUAAAAGGUUAAAUAUUUUUAAUUUCCGCUACUUUGAAAAGUUGGUAAAUUUUAAUAUCUUUAAGCACAUGCAACAGUAAACUUAAAGCAGGGGUUAAGUUGUGCUUAACUGAUGUCAAAACACAGAUUAAUUAAGCACUAAAGCAUGAAUUAAGUUGCACUUGCGCUUAAAUGAAGAGAUGUGCUUUACUCAUGACUUUAUGUGACUGCAUUCAAUCACACAUAUAUGCAUCAUUCUUUAUAUUUUUAUCAAAAAAAAAUUUAUUAAUGUAAAAGAGAUUUUUUAUAUAUUAUUUAAGAUAAAAAUUUAUGUACGUUAAUGGAUGUAAAUUUACGUUGGACCCGAUCUCCAUUAUGUCAAGGCACAGCACAAUAAACGUGUAUUUAUAAUAGAAAAAAAAAUUGUACAAAAUUUAUGUCGGAUAUUAUAAGAUUUUAUGUAAAUUUUUGGAUUUUUUUUAAAUUACACUGGGUUUGGCAUCAAACCAAAACCUGAAAUACAUAAAAAGUAGACAUUUUAACUAAAAAUUCUAUACUAAAUCUCUAAUCUAACUUAAAAAAAAUAUGAACAAGAAAAAAAAUCUAUACUAUCAUAAUUCACGUAUAAACAAAAUUUAAUAUUUUGAUAAAUUUUUGACAAUAUAAGUACACAUGUGUACAAAAUAAAAGUAAUUACAAAUAAUCAUGGUCAAUAUCCAAUCAAGUAAAAAUACAUUAAAUUAUAAAAUUAAAAACAUAUUAAAUUACAAUUAAGUGGAAAUACACAUUAAUAUGAAAAUGGUCGAAAAUCAAAGCCAAUGUUACAAUUAAUGUUUACUUUUAAUUCGGUCCGCGAUCCAAGUAAAAUUAUUAAGGAGCUCCUAUAAUACUGCUCACUAACAAUGGCGUUAUUUUGGUUGUCAAAUUCAACACUUCGUUGUAGUAGAAUUUAAUGUCAUUAAUAAUCAUAAGUAGUGUCACUAUGAAUGCGUAGUCCACAUAGGGAUUCACCAAGACAUUGAAGCCAUCAUUAUUCUUCAUCUACAAAGAAACACAAACUAUAUAUGUUCCUUAUUGUAUCACUAAUAUACAAACAUUGUUUCUAUAUUGAUUAAAAGGUUCACAAACAUAAAAAUAUGUUUCUAUAUCCGAUAAUGUAACUAUUAGUGAUAACUAAUAUACUCUUAUAUGAGUAGAGUUUUUAAGCUUACAUAUUUGUUCUUCUCUUUGUUUAGAGGAUCAUCAUAAUACAACUCUAUUUUUUAUCUUAUUCAUCUUUUGUAAUAUGGUAUCUAGAGCUUAUUAAGAUCUGGCCAUGAAUUUUAUUCUUUUUCUUCUAUCAUGCAUUGUAUAAAUUUUUCUAUUUCGUCCUCCUUUCAGCCUCAUACUUUUUAGCCUCCUAUAUAUUUCAAGUUGGAUGAUGACAAUUUUCUUAUAUGACAACAAGUUCUUACGACUAUCAAGGGUCCCCAAGCUCACACAAAUCUUGGAUAAUCCUAAUCCUCCUUUCAAAUACAUAUAGAAGAUGUCGUGAACAACAUUGUAAAUCCAAAAUUUCUUCAAUACAAACAACAAGGUCACAUUCUUGUUGCAUGAUUCCUUGCUUCAAUGUUUACGCUCAUUCUUACAAAGAUGGUUGAUCUAAAUUCUUCCUUCAAAAUAAGGUCCAAGUUAAGGGUGUAUUAUGCGUCUUAGAAUAAAGAAAGAAUUAAGAAACUCAAUAUUGAAUUGAGUUCACAAAAGAAAGAUAGAACCUUUAUGGCGUAUUUGUUAAACAUCAAAAAGUGUGUUGACACUCUUGUUACUAUUGGAGCAACUCUUUCCAAUGAAGAUCAUCUUGAAGCUAUUCUUGAUAGAUUACCUAAAAAUUAUGAUAGUUUUGUUACUUCAAUCAUGUCCCAUCUUGAUCCUUACAUAGUUGAAGAAGUAAAAGCUUUAUUGUUAUCUCAAAAACAAAGGUUUACCAAACAUAGAUAUGUUAUCCACACUUUGGUCCAUCUAAUGAAAACCAACUGAGCAAAUCAAUAUUUGGUGGUUCAUAUUAGAAAAAUAAUCAUUUUCAAUCUCGCAACUCUUCAUCCAGCAGGUUCUUUAAAAUUUUUCAACAUAAACAACAAAAUAGAGUUUUUUUCAUCAAUUCUUAGAACUCCUUCCAAUGUUAAUGAUCCCUUGUGGUAUCCGGAUAGUGGAACAUGCCAUUCUCUAAAUCUAAUACUACUUAUACUACUACUCUUGAAUUAUUGUUCAUUGAUAUAUGAGAUCCAUCCCCGAUUACUUCUAAUAUUGGUGCUAGAUAUGUGACUUUCUUGGAUGCUUUUUCCCAAUUCACUUGGAUAUAUUUGUUGCAUAUAAAAUCUCAAAUCUCUAUUGUCUAUACUCAGUUUAGUUUUUUUUUUUAUGAAACACAAACUAGAUAUAAGUUGAAAUCAAUUCAAACGGAUAAUGCAAGGAAUUUAAUAGUCUUGCAUCAUUUGUUAACAUAAAUGCCAUAAAACAUCAAUUAAUGUGUCCUCAUACACAUGAAUAAAAUGGAUAUAUUGAACGUCAACAUAGACAUAUCACUGAAACUGGUUUGACUCUUUUGGCUAGUGCAUCUAUGCCACGAAAAUUUUGGGAAAAGGCUUUAAUGUUGUUGUUAAUAUAAUAAACACUUUAUCCACCGUUGUUCUUAAUAAUAAAUCUCCUAAUCAUGUGUUCUUUAAAAAACAAUUGAAUUAUGCUAGUUUAGGGACUUUUGGUUGUGCUUGCUACCUUUUCUUACACCACUAUAAUAAGAACAAACUUGAUUUCGAAUUCUCUCUUUAGUUAUUUCUUGGAUAUAGUAAUCACUAUAAAAGAUAUGUUUGCCUUUCCCAAAGGUGGAUGUACCUACAUUUUUAGACACAUGGUCUUUAAUGAAAAUGCUUCCCCUUUUUCCACCAAUGCUAAGUUUUUUCUACAACACAAUUCAAAUUCGCCUAUGCUUUCCUCAACUCCUUUUCCCUUAACUAUGUUUAAAGUUGUUUUUGCCACACUUGAUAAGACCCCAGAUAUUCCCGUUACAACUCAAUCCUUGUCUUCACCUAUUCCUAAUUUCGUUGCUUUGUCUAAUCUACCUGUAACUACUCCAACAACUACUUUUGACGCUACAACCUCCUCAUCACCUUCUCACAACGUGCAUCCAAUGGUAACUCAUGCCAAAUCAUUUAUGUUCAAACCCAAACCUUACAAUGUUUCUGUUUCUGAUAACUACAUUGAACCUGCAACUUUUAAAUAAGCAAUAUGUUGGAGAUCCCACAUCGACUAGAGAUAAGGGCCUUUCAUAGUAUAUAAGUGGGUGCAAACCUCAACCUUAUGAGCCGGUUUUAUGGGGUUGAGUUAGGCUUAAAGUCCACUUUGUAAUAUGGUAUCAGAGCCAUUUCGAGCCUAUCCUAGCGAGUAUUUGUGUUGGGCCUAUCGUGCCAUUCGCUAUCGGACCACCCAAAAAUAUAUAGUCCCACGCACGAGCUUCUAUCUAUCACUCUCGGCGUGAGGGGGGUGUGUUGGAGAUCCCACAUCGACUAGAGAUAAGGGCCUUUCAUAGUAUAUAAGUGGGUGCAAACCUCAACCUUAUGAGCCGGUUUUAUGGGGUUGAGUUAGGCUUAAAGUCCACUUUGUAAUACAAUAGUUGAUCCUAACUAGUUUAAAGUAAUGUAAUUAGAACACAAUUCUCUUAUGAAAAAAAAAACUUGGACUCUCACUAACCUCUCAUAUGAUUCAAAUUUUAUUAACUGUAAAUGGGUAUACAAAACCAAGUUCAAUGCAUAUGGCAACUUCCAAAGACACAAGGCACACUUGGUUUUUAAGGAAUUCCAUCAAACACCUGGUAUUGAUUACUCUAACACAUUCAAUCCAAUUGUUAAACCAAUCACUAUUUGGAUCAUCCUUGCUCCUGCAAUGUCUUGCAAAUGAUCUAUCUACCAAGUUGAUAUCAAUAAUGAUUUUUUCCAUGGUGAUUUAAAGGAAAUUGUAUACAUGCAACAACCACUAGGAUUUAUCUCAUCAAAUACACAACAAGUUUGUAAGUUGAGCAAGACCAUUUAUGAUCUUAAAAAAACACCAACUGGGCGUUAUUUUAUAAACUUAGCCACACUCUUAUCCUGAUGGGUUUUUUUGCUAUAAAGAGUGACUUUUCCUUAUUCACGAGGUUCAAUUAUGUUUCAACUCUACUUAUGUUGAUGAUAUCAUUAUAAUUGACAAUUGUUCUAUUGCAAUAUCAUCUCUUAUUACUUUUCUGCAUACCCGAUUUGCUUUUGAAGAUCUUAGUCCUUUACUUUAUUUUGUUGGAAUAAGGAUGUUGGAUUAAAUGCUUGCCACAUGGCCAAAAGUUAUAACUUUUUCUGCUUAACCUAACCCAUCUAGCCUCCGUCAUAGAAUAAUUGAUGUCACCUGCAACAAUAUCCCCUUCAACAAUUUUCCUAAUAGGAAUCAAACCCUUUGAUUGUGACUUGGCCCAUUUGACCCGCGCCACAGGACAAUUGUGCAACUUUCAACAAUCUCCCCUUAAACAGUUGCCUCACUGUGAAUUAAACUCGUGACCUUAGUUUAGAUACCAAUUGUUGGAUUAAGCGUUUACCACUAUGUCAAAAGUUAUAACUGAUAGUCAUGGUGCAACACUUUCUACUUAAGAGCAUAACAAUUUAAACACCACAAUUCCAUUAUAACCUGACCCAUCUAGCCUCUUCCAUGGAACAAUUGAUACCACUUACAAAACAAAGGAGACCACUAUUCAUCUUUUUCAAACCAAAUACAUUGAACAACUUCUUUGUAGAGUGAACAUGUAUGAACCUUAGCCUCAACCUACUCCAAUGAUAACAUCUCUACACCUCAUUCAAGAUGGCUAAAAUCUUUCCUUCUGCAAUAUGUUACUAUUAUAAGUUCAAAAUUAACUUCUUAUAUUAAUAAAGUCUCAAUAUAUGUACCAACCUCAAUAACAUCUUUAGAAAGCCCUUAAACAUGUUCUAUGUUAUCUAGCUCGAACAAUUUAUUAUGUUCUCGUUAUUCAACCUUCCAAUAAUUUCUCAACCAUUGGGUUUACUAAUGCUAAAUGGGAAUGGGAUUGUGAUCUUGGUGAUUGAAAAUCAACAAUAGUAUACUGUAAUAUCUUAUAUCUUGGCAAAAAUGUGGUUUCAUGAUGAUCUCAUAAAGAAUGUGUUGUGCCCAAAAGUACCACAAAGGUUGAAUAUCAUAGCAUCUGCAACUCUAACUGAUAUUACUUGAAUUGUCUCCUUGUGACGUGAAUUGUGCAUUAUUGAUCAUGUUCCAAACAUAUAAUCAGAUAAUCUAAGUGUUGUCUCCUAGCAACUAAUCUAAUUUUUCAUUCUCAACCAAAACACUUUGAGUUGGAUUUUCAUUUUAUUCGUGAUCAUAUCCAACAAAAAACUUAUUAGGCUAAUUCACCUUCCAAAAAGGUUUUAAAUGGUUGACAUUCUUACCAAACAUCUCUCUCAUUUACUAAGUUUCGUGAUAAACUUCUGGUCUUUCAAAGAUCAACCAUAACUUUACUGAGGAAUGAUAAUGCAAUUUUCAGUGAUAAUGUAAUCGUUAGUGAUAACUAAUCUACAAUUAUAUUAUUAGAGUAUUUCUAUAUGCUAUAUAUUAGUUACUCCCUCUGUUUUGAUAAUUAUCAUAAUACAAUUUCGUUUUUAUCUUCUUCCUCUUUUGUAACAAUAUUUGAUACCAAUGUAGAAACUCUCCAACAUUACUAUUAAAAUAUUUAUAUAGUAAGAGUACAUACCGUGGCAACAACCGUAGGAGAUUCACCUGCAAAAACAGUGCAUGAACUUUUGUCACUUGAAAUGUUUACCCUAAAGUCACGCACACUUUCUUUUUUGUUGUUUGCAAGGAAGACAUCUAAUUUAAUCACUCCACUCUGGAGAAUUUCCGAUUUCUUCACCGAGAACAGCAAUUCGGAGGAAUCACUGCUUUGGCCCCUGAAAACUUGGCAUCGUCGGUGCAUAGUCAUGAUCUAUUAUAAGAACAUUCGUCCAUAGUUUAGUAACUAAGGUGAUUUUGUUGGAAUGUUGAAUUUGUUAGAAACGAGGAAUAGGGUAUAAAAAUGCAUGAACACAGUACAAUCCAAUUAUGCAAUCAGCCCUAAGAGGAAGUGGAAAAACUAUAAAACCAUGCGUGAAAUUAAGGUUACGAAAAAAUUAAGAAAACCGCAACUAUGAAAUAAUAAAAAAAAAAAAGCCAACUUGAUAUAUUUCAAUAAUACAACAUUGACUUUUCACCGGACAAAGUAAAAAGUAGUUAUAUAUGAUUGAGCUACGGGAAAAAACACAUUAACUUGUAACCUUGCAUUUUUUUUUGUCUAUCUCUAUUGCAAGUAAUCAUUAAAGCUGAACAAAAAGUUAUUGUUAAUGGAAAAAUAAAAAUAUUAUAUUUCAACACGUCCCCUUCAAAAUGUCUUUCAACAUUCCAAGAUUUUAUCUUAACGUAAGGCCAUUGGUUACGAUUUAUGCAAUAUGAUUCUCAAAAUUGCAAUGGUCCAAGCCUACUUUUUUUACGUAUGUGCUUGUCUAAUAAUAUCAUUUAAUUCCGUUAUAUCAAAUGACUCAUGAAAUUGAUAGGAUGAAAGGUGAAUCGAAAUGUUGGAAAGAUUAAGUCUAAAAGUUGAAGAGUAAAAAAUAUAAAUAAAUAAAUUAUAAUUGAUUAUUGUAGCAAAGUCCAUAAUAACAUUAUCUUAAUAGAAUACUAUAAAUAGGUCAUCAAUUUAAGAGGUAUGUAGAGUGAAUUUAUCUGAUAAUUAUAUAAAGUUGAAUCUGACUUUGGCAUCGGAGCGCCUUGCAAUUACACACACCCAUCCGUGAAAGGAGACCGAGAGGAGAAGCAGAGAGAUCCAGUUAAUCCAACCCAACCAAGUGAGCUUGCCAAACAAAUAAGUCCAACCUAAAGUUAAGGUAGGAGUGAACCGAAAACCCAACUCGUAAGUAGAGACCGAGAAGCCUAGAAGAUUUAAGAAGUUAACACAUUUUAAAAGAAGAACAGUUUCUAGACCCUUGUACCAAAGUUUAUGUAUACCUUUUCUGAUUGGAUUUUGAACCCUCUUAUGGUUGAAAAUCUGUUAAUCUAUUAAUGUUGUUGUUCUUCUUUUAUGUUUUGCAGGGGAAAAGGAAGGUGUACGGGUACUCAGGCUACACCCAACAGGAAUAGUUGGCUUCUUAGGAAUGUAGUCAACCAGAGUGAAGGAUAAUAUUGCUGCAUGAGUGAGUUAGUGAUGGUCUUAGAUGUAGGGGAGAUUGGGUGACAUACAAAGCAAAUGAUGAAGAAUAGCACCGAAGAAGAAAAUCUGUUGUGUGAUGAUAGUGCUUGGUACACUAGUGCAAUUUCUUUGGACCUACUCUUAUCCAGUAUGCAGAAUUAUGUUGCAGAAUAUAUGGUAGAAAUAGCAUUGGAUACUGAUAAAGAAGAAGUGUUAAGCUUGGGUAAGAGAAAUCAUAUCUUGUAAAUGCUUUUGUUUGUAAAAUUUUCUAAUGGUUCAACUCAAGGGCUACUUAGCUCUACAAGGUUGAAAGAGAAUAUUGGUGAAUAUUGAUCUCUAUUAAGGAAAUAAUAAUUAUCAAAUUAUAUGUAAUUAUUGUAUGCAAUAUUUGACGAUAUUGUACCCAAUUAUAUGCAAUUAAUUUAAUAAUUAUAGAAUCUCAUGAUUAGUAUCCUACCUAAUCAGAUUGUAAUUUGAGGGAGAGAAACUCCCUUAUAUAUUUCCUAUACAUGAAGUGAUGUAAUAUGCACAUAAGAGAAUAAGAAACAUCUCUUCUUCUUACCAUUUUUUAUCAUUUUCUUAUAUGGUAUCAGAGCACCGAUCUUGGUGCCCUGACAGCCUCUCCAUUUUUAUUCCCUAAAUAAAAAAUCAUGUAUGGCAAAGAAGUCACUAGUAACGAGUCCGAUAGAAACCUCGUACAACGCUUCAGUGCCGAGCAAAUUCAGCAAUUGGAAAAGGUUAUUUACUCGCUCAACAAUAACGGUAAAAGUGACACGUUUGUUAGCUCUGCAGAUCUGCUUGCCCAUAACUCCUCUUCUAAUUCUGCUUUUACGAAACCAUGGAUUUUGGAUAGCGGAGCAACCCAUCACAUUGCAUCUGAUUCACAAUUUUUCACACACACUUCAUCAUCAUUUAUUUCAAAUGUUAAUCUGCCCACAGGCUCAACUGCACCCAUCUCAUCUACAGACACAAUUAAAUUCAAUGACAAAAUCACUCUCAAAGAUGUUCUUUGUGUUCCUUCUUUUAAUUUAAAUCUCAUGUCCAUUAGUAAGAUAACCAGUUCACUAAAUUGUUGUGUCGUUUUUACUCCACAUGGUUGCGUUUUACAGGACUUGGCUACGGGGAGGAUGAUGGCUCGGGUAAACAACACGCAGGCUUAUACUACAUGUCCCCUCUUCCAAACCAAGCCCACACAUCUCAAAUAUCGACCGAUCCUGAUUUAUGGCACAAGCGCCUUGGACAUCCUUCUCCGGCGUGUCUACAACUUGUAUCUUCCUUACUACCUAUCCCUAUCAGUAAAAAUCUCAUUUCCAUUCAUAAUCGUUGUAGUAUUUGUCCCAAAGCUAAACAGACAAGGCUACCCUUUCCUUUAAGCACAAUAAAAUCUCAUUCUCCAUUUAAUCUAUUGCAUUGUGACAUUUGGUGUCCUCAUAAAACCCCAACUCAUUUUGGAAAACGUUUUUUUCUCACUAUAGUCGAUGACUAUACUAGAUGUACUUGGCUAUUUCUUAUGAAUCACAAAUCUGAAACCCAACAUCUCUUAGAGUCAUUCAUUACAUUUGCACAAAAUUAAUUUCAGGCAUCUAUUAAAACCAUCCGCGUUGCCAACGGAUUGGAAUUUAUUUCAAUGUAUGAUUUUUUUCUUAAAAAAGGUAUUGAAUGUCAACGCACUUGCGUUUACACUCCUCAACAAAAUGGAGUAGUAGAACGCAAACAUAGACAUGUUUUAAACACAGCACGAGCCCUCCUAUUUCAGUCCAAUUUACCAUUAGAAUUUUGGGGAGAAUGCGUUUUAACUGCCACAUAUAUCAUUAAUCGCUUGCCAUCACCUUUACUAAAAAAUAAAUCACCUUUUGAGCUACUAUAUAAUCAACCACCUUCACUUUCUCACCUAAAAACUUUUGGUUGCCUCUGUUACGCAACUGUUGUUUCACCUAAGCAAAAAUUUGAUCCGCGCGCUCGACAAUGCAUCUUCAUUAGUUAUCCUCACAGUAAAAAAACAUACAAAUUAUUUGAUAUAGAUGUAGACACUUUUUUUACAAGUCGGGAUGUCAUCUUCUAUGAAAGUGUUUUCCCAUUCCGCCAACAGUCACAGACACAAUCCUCACCUCCAUUACAAGGUAUUUUGCCCACUAUUGACAUUGACUUACCCACUCCUGUCCAACAUUCACUCGAUCAACCUUCUUCUCUUACUCAUUACAAUGCACCUGAAUCUCCAUCAAACCAACCUUCUUCUCCUACUUGUCACAAUACACCUGAACCUCCAUCAAACCAACUCUCUUCUCCUACUCGUCACAAUGCACCUGAACCUCCAUCAAACCAACCUUCUUCUCCUACUCGUCAUAAUACACCUGAACCUCCAGUAGACCAACCUUCUUCUCCCAUGCCAAGAAGUUUAGCACCCAUUACCAAACCUUCUCCAACCGACCUUCCUGUUCGACGAUCCAGUCGCACAUCAACCCAACCUUCCUGGCUUCAAGACUACGUAACGGGAUCCCAAGCCAAUCAUUCGACCACUGCCCAAGACCGACCGAAUGGAACCAGGUAUCCUAUGAAUCAUUUUCUUUCUAAUUCACGAUUUUCUUCUACACAUAGUGCAUAUCUUGCUAACAUCACAGCCACCAAAGAACCUCACACUUAUGCUAAAGCUAUCCUUGAUCCAAAUUGGCAAAAAGCAAUGGACGAAGAGCUUUCCGCCUUGCAGCUAAAUCAAACGUGGACCUUGACACCGUUACCCGCUGGGCAGAAACCCAUUGGAUGCAAAUGGGUCUAUAAAAUAAAGUACAACUCAUAUGGUAGCAUCGACAGAUAUAAGGCGCGCCUUGUCGCAAAGGGGUACACUCAGAUUGAAGGUGUCGACUAUUCUGAAACUUUUUCACCUACAACAAAAUUAACAACUUUGAGGUGUCUCCUCACCAUUGCAGCAGCCAUAAAUUGGUUUACUCACCAGCUAGAUGUGUAAAAUGCCUUCUUACAUGGCACAUUGCAUGAAAUUAUUUACAUGGACUUGCCACCCGGCAUCAUCGACAGGGGGAGAACAUUGUAUGUCGACACAAAAAAUCCCUUUAUGGUCUCAAACAAGCAUCUCGAACAUGGUUUUCAACAUUUUCUCAUGUGAUUAAAUCUGUAGGAUUUCAACAGUCCAAGACAGAUUACUCUCUAUUCACAAGACAGAAUAACUCAUCAUUUACUGCCCUUUUGAUUUAUGUGGAUGAUAUUCUUUUGACAGGGAAUGAUUUGACCGAAAUUCAGUGUGUUAAAGAUUGUUUAUUACAACAAUUUCGCAUUAAAGAUCUUGGAGACCUAAAAUAUUUUCUAGGGAUUGAAUUUUCCCGUUCCAAAGCUGGUAUACACAUGUCCCAAAGAAAAUAUGCACUUGAUAUUUUGCAGGAUACGGGACUCACAGGUGCUCGUCCAGACAAAUUUCCAAUGGAACAAUACCUAAAACUCACACCAGACGAUGGAGAGUUAUUAAAGGAUCCAGUCAAAUACAGGCGACUCGUGGGACGACUGAUAUACCUCACGAUUACUAGACCUGACAUAGCAUUUUCGGUUCGGACCCUAAGUCAAUAUAUACAGGAUCCACAGAAACCUCAUUGGGAUGCUGCAAUUCGAGUCCUAAAGUAUCAAAGUAUCACCAGGACAAGGAUUGCUAUUGCCAUCCGAAAACAAUUUGACAUUGACAGCUUAUUGCGACUCAGACUGGGGAGGUUUUCAGACAACUCAGAGAUCAGUAUCUGGAUAUUGCAUUUUUCUUGGUUCCUCUAUUAUCUCAUGGAAGUAAAAAAAAACAGACAAACGUAUCAAGAUCAUCAGCGGAAGCAAAAUACCGCGCAAUGGCCAAUACUUGUUUGGAGAUAGUUUGGUUGCGAUAUCUGUUGCAGGAUUUAAAGGUGCCAUGUAACUUGCCAGCUUAACUUUUCUUUGACAAUCAAGCGGCAUUACAUAUAGCAACAAAACCAGUAUUUCAUGAACGCACAAAACACAUUGAGAUAGACUGCCACAUUGUGCGAGAAAAAUUACAAGUUGGGAUAAUCAGUCCUUCAUAUGUGCCGACACAGUAUCAGCUCGCAGAUAUUUUUACGAAGGCAUUGGGCCAGGAACGAUUUUUGACGCUACGACACAAGUUGGGGUUCUUGAUCUUCACUACCAACUUGAGGGGAGUAUUAAGGAAAUAAUAAUUAUCAAAUUAUAUGCAAUUAUUGAAUGCAAUAUUUGACGAUAUUGUACCCAAUUAUAUGCAAUUAAUUUAAUAAUUAUAGAAUCUCAUUAUUAGUAUCCUACCUAAUUAGAUUGUAAUUUGAGGGAGAGAAACCCCUAUAUAUUUCCUAUACAUGAAGUGAUGUAAUAUACACAUAAGAGAAUAAGAAACAUCUCUUCUUUUUAAGUUAUUUUGCUGAAUAUGUUUGGUAUUAAUGAUGGAAGAUCCUUAUUUUUUCUUCUGUAAUUUUUCUUUAUGGAUAUUGCAAGAGCUUUUAUUAGGAUUAUUUUUGUGCAGUAGUUUUUGUAUAAGAGUUAAAGUAUAAUACCUCUAUUUAUUUACUGUUUGUGCUAAUAAAAAAAAACCUCCAAAAAUGGUAAAACUAUGAAGCCCUUUGUUGAGCAAAGCAAAAGAUAAUCAUAACCAUACCAAGAGAAGAAACAUCGUUAACUUAUAAUUAGAAACAUGUUUUUCUGAAUCGUAAACAAACUUUUAAUCAAUAUUAUAAGCAACCUAAAAAAUUAAGCAGAUAUUUAAUAUCAAAGAUAAAAUGGAAAUCUGAAAUUGUAACAGAAUCGAUAAGGCUAUAAUCGAGUAAUUUGAUGUGGGAAGUGAAGGAGUAUAAUUGGUCAGAGUAGCCAAACCUUCUUGUACAGAGUGAGGAUGGGUUUUCCAGCAUCAUCAUACAAGACACGACGGUCGUGAACUGUUAAAAGGGGACGUUUGAUAUAAAAACGAAGGCGACCAUUUGCGUCGUAAGUGGCACCUUUCUCAGUGUUAAUUUGAAGAUUGAUAGUGUAAGGAGCACAGUAGGAACUGUUGAUAACUUGGAAUGGAUUUUCCAUUGGCGAGGGAGACACAGUAUUCUGAGCUGUAUAUGAUUGAUGGAGCAACCUACGAAACCACUGACUUAUGUUCACGCUGUUAUUGCAAUGUAUGGUAUCCAUGGAUACACGCCUUAAACACGGGACUUAGUCAAACUUUAAACUGAGGCGAAAUGUCAAAUAGGUUAAAUUUUAUGAAACAAGUACGUGCGUGACGUAUGGUAGGUAGUGAAUUAGAGUUAGAAGUAGAAGAAGACUUUAGUUGACUCCAUAGUUAAAACACGGAUAUGAACAUUCCGCAAACUCGAUACCAUGCAACUCAGUCAUUUAAUAGCUUUCAUUACUGGACCCACCAUGCACCAAGGUUUUGUUUUUUCUUAUCAUCAGCUACCUUACCUAUCAGUAUUAAUUGCAAAAAUUAUUAUUAUGAUUUAAGACUUUGUUAGAAAACUAUUUCUGGUAAUUAAUUAUAAAAUUAAUAUAAUUGAUUGUCAGUUUUCUUCUCUUCCGUCAAGAUAUUUUCGUUUUCGCUCUAAUUUUUUUUCUGUCUUUCUCUCAUUUACUAUUUUCUUUUCAUUUUCUUUUAUAUUUUUCUAAAAUACAUUAUAGUAGAUCAGAGAAUAAGAUAAUGAGAUUUCACUUUUCAUUUGUUUUUUCAACUGAUGAACAAUAUGAUUUAAUAACGCCUUAAUAUGACCAUUUGAAUUUACCUGUCAUGAGUCAAAUAAUGAUAAAUUUUUUAAAAAAAAGUGUCUUUUGUAGUGCAAAAUGUGCCAAUUACUCACCAUUUUGACAUUAAAUGUCGAAAUAUACAAUUUUAAAAAAAUGUGGUAAUAUUUUUGUAAAUACUUCAAAUAUAUUUACAUCAAACGUAGUAAGAUUCAACGUAAACAUUCAUUUUUAUGUCAGACAUGUUAAUGUUAAGAUCCAAUAUAAAUAUCCAUGUUUAUGUCAUACGUCAUAUCAUUCAAAUAGAAAAAGUUAUCAUAGUAAGUUUAAUCAAAUUAACAAAGCACUACUAUCACUCUUAAUAAAAGAAAAAAGAUAGUCAAUAUUAGAGAAAUGGGAACUAAGAAAAAUUUGUUGAAUCCAACUUCAAAUAUGCAAAACAUUAAGACAUUCAAAAAAAUAAAUGUUGAAUAGAUUCUUCCUGUUUUUCACACAACAUACACAUAGAACAUAUAUAUGCAAAUCCCUAUGUUGAAUAUGUUGAUCUUUAGGAAGUCAUCAAUUAAAAACUUUUCAGAAUACUAAAAUUUUAGAAGAAAGAAUAUAUGGAUAGCAAAUGAGUUUUUAAUGACGUGGUAAAAAUUAACGAGGUUCCAAAGUAAUUAUUUAUAUAAUAUUAUUAUUUUUAUUUCUUUUCAGUUGCAUAAUCACAUUUGUUACUAAUAUAUAAAUCAACUCAAUUUUUCUCAAUCUAAAUAAUUUCAUUUUCUAUUUUUUUUCUCAUUCUUUCUUAUCGGUUAUGUAUUUUUAAUGACAUAAUUAACCUCAUGUAAUAACGAGGAUGACGGCUUAAUAAUUGUCAGUCACAAUUUUUCGGUAAAUAAAGGCAUUAUAGAUUAAAAACAUUGGUAUUAAUCCUUUUAUAAAAAAAAAAUUAAAUCAAAUAAAUUUUAAUGAUGUUCUCUAAGAUCUAACCGCUCCUUAUCCUCAACAAAAAAAUGACUUACGACACAAUACAAUAAUUUUUUUAUAAGCAUCAUCUUUAAUUCUCAUUCUCAGAUCAAUUCGAAAAUUGACAUUUAUUUUUUAUCAAAUUAUAUAUGUUUUUAAUGACUAGUGGGUAUGUUUUUUAAUCAUUUAUCAAUAUUAAUAUGUUUUUUUAUUAGUAAAUAAUAGAAUAAAAUAAAUUAGAAGAAUGUCCCAGUACCAACCUGCACCUAAUAUGUCUGAAGAAUAUAGUUUAUCAAAUACUUGGAUUUUAUGUCACCGAAUUGGUUUGGAGAGACUGAAAACACCAAGUUCAUGGUACUCCAAUAGAGGGACCAAAAGUGUAUGUGGUUGAAGUGUAGACCAAAAACAAAUAACCUCUGAAGUCAAGUCUUCUCCGCGUUUUCUUGUUUUCCACAUCCACCGUUAAAAUUUUAGAUUAUUGUUUCAAAUUUAUAAAAUCAUAAUUUUUAGAAUUAUAGGAAAAGUUAUAUAUUUAUCUCCAAUAUUAAAUUAUAGGAUUGAAAAAUAAGAAAUUGUUUGGAAUUUUAAUAAACCACUAGAAAAAUGUAUAAGUAAUUAUUUAAAUAAUAUAAAGUAUAGGAUUAAAUCAUUUAAAAUUAUUUUAGUUAAACAUGUUUAGUUUUUUUUAUCAACAAAUAAUAUACAAUAAAUUAAAAUAAAGUCUUUAAGGAAUACUCUAACUUAUAUAAAAAAUAGACUAAAAAUCCUUACAAGAAGUCCAAAAACCGAGUAAUCAGUAAAAAAGAUCUUAAAAACACCAUCAAAUCAAUCUAAUUGCUGUGUUUGCUGUGCCAAAACAGAAGCACCACAACAUAACCUUGUUGUGACUUGGUUUAUUGCAUGAUAUACGAGAGACUCCCAUCCAUCAUUGUGGUAACUCCUACUUAUUAAUUUGUCCUUAUAGAUUAAUUUAUGUGCUUUAUUCUGUUAUAAUUUUAUUUUAUGUAAAUCCUAAAUCCUAAAUCUUAAAUCCUAAUCUUAAUUGAUGUGCUUUAUUUUUUGUUGUUAUAAUUUUAUUUAUAUUUAUUUUUUUAUUCAUGCAUAUAUAUUGAGCAAACUUUCAAUUAAUUAUUUACAUUAAGUUAUUGAACUAUUUGAAAAAAAUAUUUUACAUUUGUUAAGAUGUACAGAUUAAAUCUAACUUUGGAAAAAAAUUAAACCAUUUAUUUUAUUCUUUUUAUAUACAUUUAUUUUAUCAACAAGUAAAGCAAAUAAAGUUUUAUAUAAAAAAAUUAUAAUCAAAUUCUUAUAUACAAAUUCUCUUAAUCUUCAUAAAAAACACAUAUCAGCCGGAUAAAACACUACUACAAAAAAAAUCAGUAUUAUGUACGGAUUUUUAUCAACGGAUAUGAGUCCGUAGGUAAAUUCAGCAUUACCUACGGAUAUUACCUACGAACAACAUUACCUACCGACAUUAUCCACAGAUUCUGAAUCCGUAGGUAAAUUCAACAUUACCUACCAACUAUUAUCCACGGAUCUUAUUACCUAUCAACUUUUACCUACGGAUCUCUAUUACUUACCAACUAUUACUCACGAAUCUCUAUUACGUACGAACUAUCACCCAUAAAUUUCUAUUACCUACCAACUAUUGUCAUAAUAAUUAUACACAUAAUAUUAAAAAUAUUAAUAUAAUAUGAAGAAUUAUAAAAUCAUAAUUCAUAUUCAUAAAAAAUAAUAAUCAUAACUAAUUUAUACAUAUUAUUAAUAUUAUAAAAUUAAUAAUAUUAAUAUAAUAUUAAUAAUAUUAAAUAAUAUUAAUAAUAUUAAUAAUAUUAAUAAUAUUUAAUCAUAUUUAAUCAUAUUAAUAAUAUUAAUAUAAUAUUAAUAAUAUUAAUAAUAUUAAUAAUUAUUUAAUAAUAUUCAUAAUAUUUUAUAAUAUUAAUAAUGUAUACCUAUAUAUAAAGGGGAUUCUCUCUUUAACUGCUCUCAAAUUCUUCCUAUUUUAUCCUUAUAUUUAUAUUUAGUUUUAUUUCAUUAUUUUGGGUAUUGCGUCAUUUCCUUCUUUUUAAAAAUAUUUGAAAUAAAUGGAGGAGCGGUUUUGAAUUAAAAGAGAUGGUUUAUAUUUUGAAAAUGAAUUGCUACAAAAAGAGGGAGUGUCUGUUAAGAUUAUGGGAGAGAAAUAAAUUUAAAAAUUAUUUGAAAUAAAUCGAGCAACUGUUUUGAAUUUAAAGAGAUAAUUUAUUUUGAAAAUUAACUGCAUAAUGAGAGGAGUGUCUGUUUGAUGAGAGAGAAAUAAAUAUUAGGAAAGGUGAGUAAUGAGUAGUGGCCGAACGUGAGCAAUUUUGAAAAUUCUUGAGUAUAUUGACAUUUUGUCAUUUUCCAUUAUUACUGAGCGGUUACAUAGGAGUAGUGGGUUUCAGGAGUUUUCACCGGUUACAUCCACUUCAUUUUCUCUUUUAUAUUUCGACUCCAAAGAAAAAAAUUCUCAUAAAUUUUGACACAUCUUGAACCCUCUUCCUUCACGCUCCGUGUUCUUCUCCUACUCUCACCCAUCUCACGUCCACUACAUCCAUUCCGCCUUUUCAUCGGCCUCCACUCUUUCAAAAUGCUCUCUAAGCACAAAAGAAGUCUAUAUAAUUUUGAUUAUUUAAUUGUUGGAAGAGCAAGUGGAGACGGAAGAAGUAGAAAAUGGAUAAGCUGAUCUAGGUGAAGGAGAAUCAACUAUUCUUCCCAAUCUUUUGCGACCCCUUUCACUAAUCUCAACUAGGUUGAUUCUGAUCUCGCUUGCUUGAACCCUCCAGGAGCAGGUUUCACUUUUAUUCUUUUUUUUCUCAUUCUACUAUAUUCCUUCAUCUUUACUCCCUUUAAUUGGGGAAAAAUGAUUAUUAACGUAACACUAAUUUGUUUGUUUGUUUAUUCAUGUGUUUUGUUUGAGUUUUGGUGGGAUUUUUUUUUUUCAGUGUAUGCAAGGUAAAACAAUUAUUUUGAUAUUUAGUAGUUUUUUUUUGGAUGAGUUUAGAGAGAAUGUCUCCAUUAGAACUGUAAUCACUUUUGUUGUCAUAUUAAAUCAUUAUUAUUAUCUUAUUUUAUAUUUAGUAUUAGAUCAAUCAUGGGGUUUCACUUAUUCAUAUAGUUGUUUUUUCAAUAAUGUUUGCAUAAGUGUUUUUUCUUUUAUAGUAAUGUAAUUGUAUAUCUGGAAAAUUAUGUUUGAUUGUAAUUCACCAUUAAUUAGUAUCUUUUGUCUUCCAGGUGUUAGGCAUGAUGGUUGAUAUUUCUAUAUAUUCGAUGUACAAUUUGGAAACAAAGCCUCACAAGGAAACUUCCUGCUUCUAAAACACGGGCUACUAAUGAUGAAGCAUCUGAAGAACCGGUGAUUGACCAUUCUAACAAUGUUGAGAAAAAAAAAUCUAACAAUGUUGAGACCCUCACAAAGUAGUGUUAACAAUGAGGCACCAUCAACCACUGUUGAUUAAUGUAUUUUCAUAUUCGUGGAAUGUUUGGAAAUAAAAGUAUUCCACAAUAAUAGUAUUCUUUUCUUUUAAUUCUCAUGAUUUUGAAUCUCAUACUUUUUUGUUAAUAUUGGAAAAAAGUUGAAUUUCCAUGUUAUUCUAAAGUUUGCAGAAAAUAUUGUUGGCUAACUCUGUCUCAUCGGAUUUUAUAUUUUAUUUUAUUUUAUUCUCGACUACAAUUUUUAGUUUUUGUUUAUAUUAAUUUUAUAACAAUAAAAUAUAAAGAGAUUAUAUCAGUUUUAGUUAUGCAAAGACUAAUAUUUAUUUAAUUAUUAAAGAGUGUAUUUAGGAUAGCAAAAUGUGAAAAAAAUUGAAUAAUAACAAUUAGGACAUAUAUAAUAAUUUAAAGAAAUAUUAUAUAACUAUUCCUAAUUAAUUUUAUAUAAAUAAUCCUAAUUAAUUUAUUUUACAUUCAAUUAUUUUUAAUUUUUAAAAGAUUAAUGUGGUAUAAACAUUCAAAAUCUUAACCAUGGAAGAUGAAAAAUAUAUAAGAAAAGAAAAAAAAUCAUAAAAUUAGUUAAUAGUUUUACAAUUUUAAUAUAUUUUUUUAAAGAAAUUAUUAUAAAAUUAAGCACUUUUAAUUUAUAACAAUUUAUUAUUUAAUUUUAAUAUAUUUUAAUUUUAGUGUUAUUUAUAUUUUAACAAUCUUAUGUUUGCCACUUGAAUUUAAUACAGAAAUACCGUUUAAAUUAUUAUUAACUAACUUAGUUUUUUUUACUGUAAUUUUAUUAAAAAAUAGUAUUAAAAUAUUAUAUAACCUUAUUUACAAAAUAAAUUAUUUAGUUAUUUUAAAAUAAUGAAAAAUUAUUUGAUUGUUUAUUUUAAAUUAAAUAAAUAAAUUAUAUUUUAUUUACAUAAAGAUUUUUUUGUAUAAAUAUAAUACUAUUUAAAUAAAAUUUUAUUUUUUUUAAACAAAUAAUUGUAUAUACAGUUUUUUUUAUUAAAAUUUCAAGUAAAUCCAAUCUGCUUAAAUGAAUCUUUCGCAUAUCUUUUCAUAUCUUUAUUAUAUUAAAAAAUAUAUAAUUUUAAUAUGUUAAUUUUAAAAUUUAAUUGUUUUAUGUUUUCGUAUUUUUAUUAUAUUAAAGUACAUAUAACUUUACUAUGUUAUUUUUAUAAUUUAAUUUUUUUAUGUUUUCAUAUUUUUAUUAUAUUAAAGUAUAUGUAACUUUAAUAUAUGUUAUUUAUACUUCUAUACCUAUAUAGGGAUUCCCCACUUAACUGACAUUUUAUUUUAUUUCAAUUUUAUCUUUAUAUUUUUAUUUUAUUUUAUUAUUUUAUAAAUAUAUGAUCGAAGAUAUUUUUGUGAGUAGUUUUAAUUUUAUAUCUUAAAGUGAGACUAACAGAAUAGAUAAAAUUAUUUUUAAAUUCAAAAUUAAACAUUGCAAAGUGAGACUUGCUUAGGAGCAUUGCACAAUUGCAUCUUUUUUCGUUCAUCUACAUUUUUAUCCCCAUGAAACGUUUUUUUCGUUUUCAGAAGUUAUAUUAUCAUUCCAAAACCACGAAAUCAACCAAUACGUAUUGUUUUUCAAUUAUAAAAUAGAAGAUGGAUAUGCAAUGUGUGAAUUUACUUUUUUUUUUUAAUGCAAUGUGUGAAUUUACUCUUUUUUUUAAAAUUUAUUUAUGCAUAUGGGUGCACUGUCCAUUCUUGAAUUUUCCAAAGAUUGAAAAUACAAAGAGAGGAUAGGAAGAGAAUACAGGUGUUGCAGUUGAAUGAAGAUAUCAACACAAAGCAUUUACACAUUUAUCUACACAAACAUGUAUUUAUUAAUAUAUGUAUAUUGCAUAUAUAUAUAUAUAUAUAUAUAUGUCUGUGUGUAUUUUGCAAUUUAUUCAUAAUUGACAUUCUUUAGUAGGAAUAAAAUUUGUAAAACAAUGGAACACUUAGAAGGAUGAUCGAACACUCGCAUUGAUUACGCCAAUUAACACCAAAGUAUAAUGAUUUUACAUAAUGAUGAUGAUAAUGAUAUUUUUUAUUCAUAAUAUACUAUAAAUUUAUAUUGUUAAUAUAAGUGUGUAAAUAAUAACAUUAUUUAUUUGAAUUUUUAAUAUUAAACAUAUAUAUAUAUAUAAAUGAUAAAAAUAAAAAAUGCGGAUACACAGGCGUGAGAGCACCUGUGUGCCCGCUAGUAUUUUAUAAUAUUAAUAAUAUUAAUAAUAAUAGGAAUAUUUAAUAAUAUUAAGAAUAUUUAAUAAUAUUUAAUAAUAUUAAUAAUAUUAAUAAUAAUGAUGAUAUUAAAUAUAUGAAGAAUAUUAUUAAUUUUUAUUUUAUUAAUUAAUAAUAUUGAUAAUUAUACUAAUAAGUAUAAUAAUAAUCAUAACUUGAUAAUAAAACUUGAUUGGUGUAAUGGGUAAAACUUUUAUGAACAUUUUUCAAGGGACUUGACUUUUAAUUCUAACAUUAAUUAUAAUUCUCAAUAAUAAUCAUAAAAUUUGGAAAAAAAAUAAUAUUUGUUUUAAAAAUAAAGUAUACUUUGAGUCAGUGGGUGGGUUCUUUCUAUAAACUUUUCACUAAUUAUUUCUUCUGUAGACUUUUUGCUGAUAAAAAAAUUUGUCUCUAUGUGAUUUUUUUUUAUAAGUAAAGUUAUCUCUAUGUACAUACUUAAUUGUGGUAGGGAUACUUAGUUGUUGUAUUAUUUGUGACCUUUUAUUUAAUAAUGCUGUCAAGAUGUUGCAAGUGGGGAUUGGUAUUGAACUUGAAUUAUUUGUUUUAUNNNNNNNNNNNNNNNNNNNNNNNNNNNNNNNNNNNNNNNNNNNNNNNNNNNNNNNNNNNNNNNNNNNNNNNNNNNNNNNNNNNNNNNNNNNNNNNNNNNNAUGAUCGUCUCUUUUAUACUGACGAUACUUUUUUCACACUCCACAACCGUCGUGUCUUAUAUGAUGAUGCAGAAAACCCCAUCGUCACUCUAUACAAUAAGGUUUGGUUGCUCAUGCAUCUAGCAAUACUCAUUCUCAAGUUAAUAAGUUUUAUUACUUUAAUAUUUUCCCACCUACAAAACUAAUCUCUGCUUAAAUUUUUCAUUCUAGCCACUAACCUAACCAUGGUGUUAUUAUUCUCAAUUUUUAUGCAGAUGGUGUCGUUGCAUGGCAGAUGCAAAGUUUUCAGGGGUGAAAGCACUGAUUCAUCUGAAUUGCUAUUUUUGGUGAAGAAAAUCGCGAAAUCACCUGGGAUUACUAAAUUAAACGUGUUCCUCGCAAACAACCAAGGCAAAAA
Molecule: long non-coding RNA, 46991 nt
Filed under: Phaseolus vulgaris (common bean)
Lineage: Eukaryota; Viridiplantae; Streptophyta; Magnoliopsida; Fabales; Fabaceae
Description: long non-coding RNA (PVUL_LNC001466)
Source: RNAcentral